CAGAUUCAGAUUCAAGAGAAAAAGCUCAAUCAAUGCUACUGGAAUCAACUAGACAAAAGGAAAACCAGAGAAGGACAAGCGAGACCGCCCAGCCAAAUUAAGAUUUUCACGGAGCGGAACACCGGAUUGAAAGCAGGAUCUGGACGAGUUAGGAUGGAGGUGAAGAGCAGGGAGUGAUUAUGGACGAGUCAAUCGCAGAAGAUUGAAAGCAGUAGAGAGAAGGGCCUCAGGAGAAGGAAAACACAAAAAAAAAAAAAAAAAGGUAUUUAAUUGAGUGUGACAGAUGAAAAUAAGGAGAUGAAAGGUUUGAGGUAUCCAAACAGCAGAGUAUGUGGAAGGUUUUAGCUAUGAAGGAAACAAGAAAUCUUUCUUCUUUUUUUUGUUCGUUUUCAAGAGGAGACGAGAGGAGAGGAGAGGAGAGGAGAAACACAAAGCAACAAAAAGGAAAAUGAGAUUGAUUACUUGGAAGAACGAGCGCGAAGGGGAGAAAGUAGGAAGAGUCGAUAAAAUGAGAGAAGGGCUACAGAGUGGAGACUGAGGAAAAGGGCUGCAGAGUGAAGAGACUGAGAAAGACGGAGAACAGUGCAAUAGAGUGAAGAGACUGAGUAAUAUCCAUCAUUGACAAUGACUCAUUUUAGUUUUAGUCGCACAUCACAUGUUUGAAUUUGGCAACCAAGACACCAAAAUAACCAAGCUUAUCUGGCUAAUUUGAUUACUAUAGAAAUUGGUUGAAAAUACUUCAUGUAACAUUUAAUACCUUAUGGAUUAAAAUAUCAUCUUUAUUCAAACACUUUCAUCAAUUCAUUUCUUCCAUUUAUAAUAAAAUAUUUAUACAAUUAUUUUUUAAGAUUACUCACAACAAACAAAGUAAAAAAAAAUAAACUUUAAAUAAUUAAAAUAUAUUUUUAUAAAACACACUGUUUUCGUAAUAAGAUCUUAAAAAAAUAUUUUUUUUAGUAUGAAAAAUAAUGUUUCUAUUUUUAAGAAAUAAAAGUGUUUUUAAAAAUAGUUAAAAACAUGCUCGAAGGUUUUGAUUGGGCGGUGGUUUAAUAAGCACAACAACCUGUCACCCUUACAUUUUCAACUAAAGCAAAUAUCUUUGGACUUCGAUCCUUGCUUGAGUGUAACUGUGUAAGGAGGUAUUAUUAUUGUGGACCGUACUAAACUGAAAAGGUCUAGUUGAUGUUAUUAGCUGGCUUUUCAAUCAUUCUGACAAAUAAAAAUGAAGAACUUGAACGGCUAGGAGAAGUUGAUGAUUAACUAGAGCGAAACCAUAAAUCCAAGAUAAAUUUAUCAUAAUAUAAAUAAAUUAAUAUCUUAAAAAUUAACAAAUUAAAUAUCUUAAAUUAAUAAAUUAUACAAUUUUAUAUAUUAUUUAUAUGUUAUAUAAGUUUAUUAUUUUAAGAUUAUUAAUUUAUUAAUAAAUCAAAUAUUCAUUUAUAAUAUCUUCUAUUUAUCAAUUUAUGUUUGUUGAAAUAAUACUAUAUUUUUAAGUUUAAAUAUAAAUAAUUUAUUAUUUAAGUAUAUUUUUAAAUUUUCGAUCAUCAAUUGUAAUUUAAUAGUUUUUAAUUAAAUUUGAAAGUAAAAAAAAAAAUAUUAUAAUUGAAAUCUCAGUUAUUAACUAUUAUACUAUUAUUUCGAUAAAGAUAAAUUUAUCAUAAUACAAAUAAAUUAAUAUCUUAAAAAUUAACAAAUUAAAUAUCUUAAAUUAAUAAAUUAUACAAUUUUAUAUAUUAUUUAUAUGUUAUAUAAAUUUAUUAUUUUAAGAUUAUUAAUUUAUUAAUAAAUCAAAUAUUCAUUUAUAAUAUCUUCUAUUUAUCAAUUUAUGUUUGUUGAAAUAAUACUAGAUUUUUAAAUUUAAAUAUAAAUAAUUUAUUAUUUAAGUAUAUUUUUAAAUUUCAUUCAUAAAUUGUAAUUUAAUAAUUUUUUAAUUAAAUUUUAAAUUUAAAUAAAAAAUUAACUAAAGCCGCGUUUGGCAACUGCGGCUUUAGUACAAAAAUGAAGCCGCGUUUGCCAACUGCGGCUUUAGUGCAAAAAUGAAGCCGCAUUUGCCAACUACGGCUUUAGUAUAAAAAUGAAGCCGCGUUUCCCAACUGCAGCUUUAGUGUAAAAAUGAAGCCGCAUUUCCCAACUGCGCCUUUAGUGCAAAAAUGAAGCCGCGUUUCCCAACUGUGGCUUUCACUAUAAUGACGAAAAAAAAAUAUUUUUUAAUGAUGUGGCGCCUACGUGGCAUCAAAGAGGUCAUUUUGAACAAUAGUUUCAAAAUGUGCCCAUUUUGAACAUUAAGUUUCAAAAAUGGGUCAUUUUGACCCAAAACUCGAAUUAUUAGCUCUCUUUUCGAUAUUCUGACGAAGAAAGUAACAAAACAGAGAGAGAUAGGAAAAGUUGAACUGUCCACGGAUGUGGUUAAUUGUUAGCUAGCUGGCUUUGAAUCACCCUUACGAAGAAAGCGACAAGAGGUAGAAAGAUAGAACGACAGGAAAAUGAUCAGAGGUUAUUAUACUUAUAUUUAUAACUAAUUAUAUUUAUAUUAAAUAUAAUACCAAUUAUUUUAAUAAAAUUAAAUAAAAAUAUUUUUAUAUCAAAUUAAAAAUAUUAAUUAUUUAAUUUUAUAUAUUAUUAUUUUUUAAAUAAUGAGAUAAAUUUGUUAAUCAUUUACAUAUUUUUAAUAAAUAUAAAAUUAAAAUUAAAUAUUUUAAAUAAAAUGACAUAAUUAUAUAUAUAUAUAUAUAUAUAUAUAUAUAUAUAUAUAUAAUUAAAAUUAAAGUAAGGUGAAUAUGAUUUUUGAUUGUUUUAAAAAAAUAAUAUGAUAAUUAUUAAUUAUGAUUUUAUGAUAUGAUAAUUUAUAUGCCGUAAGCAUAAAUAAAAGCAUUAUUAUUAUAUGAUAAUUUACGUGGCACAAGCACGUUAGAUGAAGCAUUAUUUUGAAAAUCGGUUUAGUUUAUGGAAAUUUUUUUUUUUCAAAUGUCCCAUUUUGGUUCAAAACUCAAUGUGAAGGCAAAGAGUUGGUAUGACAGGAUUACACAAGAACCGCCUAUAAUACAAAACCAAGCAAAGUGUCAUGGCUUUAGGUGUAGUCUCUGUAGAGAGUGUAAGAAUGCAUUGGGUUGUGGACGACUUAGUCAUGACCAUUAAUCCUGUUGUCAAACUCCCAUUUGUGUGAGACUGCAGAAGUCUAAUAAUAAAGGUGUUGUCGUGUUGAAAAGUAGAAAGCAUAAUCAUUUUGUGGCUUCGGUCACCAUACCUUUAACUUUUACCCUAUACAAAUAAGCCACGUGUAAAGUUUAGAAGAAUAAAAAAUUCAAAAAAAUCAAUACUUCAAGUUACCAACUGAUGGCGAUUGAUGAAAAUUUAUACGGGGAUAUUGGAUUUCGAUGGUCGUCAAAAUGAAAUAGAAUCCAAAAAAAAAAAAGUUUGGCUUAAAUCUUGCCGGGGGCAAGCUCACCCCUUAUAUAUAUAUAUAUAUAUAUAAAUAUAUAUAAUUUUCAUAUAAACAAAAUAUUAAAACAAUAUUUUAAAUAAUAAAUUAAUUAUAAUUAAAUAAAAUUUUAUUAUUUAAUUAAUUAUAAAAAUUAUCAUAAUAAUUUUAUUUAUAAUAUUUUAAAUAUUAUUAAUAUAUUAAUUAAAUAUUAAAAAAUUAUACCUAUAUCAUCAUUUAUUUUAUAUCAUUUAAUAUAAUUAAAUUAAAUAUAUCAUAAUUUUAAUAUUAAAUAUAUUUUAAAAUUAAAUAUAUUAUAAUAAAAUAUUAUAAUAUUAUUAUCAAAUAAUAUAUAAUGUAAUUUAAUAAUGAAUAUACACUUAUAAAAUUUAUAUUUAUAUUUUUUAUUCUUGCAUAUAAUAUUAUUAUCAAAUACUAUUAUUCAAUUAUUUAACAAAACAACUUUAAAAUAUUUAUUAUAUUUCUAAUUAUAUUUUUUUAUGAAAAUUUUCUUAUAUUUUCAUUAGUUUUGAUAAAUUUUAGACUUAUUAAUUUUUUUUUUCAAAAUAUCAAUCAAUUUAUGUCCGAUAUAUUUGUAAAAUCGAAAUAUUGGUAUAUUUUUAUUAAUCUUUGAAAAGAAGCAAUCUCAUGCACUUUAAAUUUAAAUUAUCUUUACAACCAUCAAUUAUAUUAUUGAACUAUUUAUUUUAUAAAAAUGGUAAAAUAUUUAAAAUUUUGUAAAAAGAAUAAUUUGUGAAAUAAAAUUUGCCACUUAUUUUAUGAUAUAAGGUUUUAAUACUAAUACCUUGUGAAAAAAAACUCGUUUAUAAUUAAAUUAAAAUGAACAUUUAUUAUUAAAAAUCAGAAUUAUAAUCAAUCAAUUAUUAAUUAAAAAUGGUAUUAUUAAUUGCAAUUUAUUGUUAUUUUUUUAUACAUAGGAGAUUGGAUUAAAUAUUGAAAGCAUUUUUUGGAAGUGGAAAAAAAAUUGUUAAAAUAAAAAAAAAAUUGAGAAUUUUGGAGAGUGCCAAGAAUGUGGGAAUGGUACAAAAAUGUGAGGAAAUUUUUGUGUGCCUAACUUCCAUAAUUUACAAGGAUGAUUAGUAUACCUAAGCAAUAUUGAUGCUAUUAGAAGUGUCAAAAAAAUUAAAAUAAAUUUAAAAAUUAGAGGGUAUGAAUGUAAUCAAUAUUUUAAAACAAUAUCAUAACUAUUUGGAAUGGAAUUUAAAAAAAAUAAUAAUAAUAUAAGUAUUUAUCAUUUAAAACUUGAUUUUCUUUAAAAUCCGAGUUUUAUCAAAUAUACCUUAGGCAAAUUGAUUCAAAAUUGACAUAUUAACUCACCUAAAGAUCUUGCCUAAGUGUUGGAAAAUAAAUAAAUUCAAAAAGAUAGGUUUUCGUGGCCAAAAGGUUCAACCUGUCGAGGCUAUGGCCAACCGACUCAACCAGUUGGGGAACCGGUCUACCGGUUGCCCUUGUCCGGUUGAGGGAGGCACAAAAACCUUCUCUCUCUUCUAGUAGCUUCCUCUUCCCAGUCGAGUCUCAUCCUUGUCCGGUCGAGGUCCGAUGGAGGCAACGGUAACCUGUCAUGCAUUAAAUGCUCCAACGGCUAGUGAUCCGGUCGACCCCUUGAUCGACCCGUCAAGGUUACUUUCUGAUAUUUUUGGCUCCUGAGCUUAGAAACCUAUAAAUUGAGAACCCCACUUUAUUAAUGACUAAGAGAACCUUUGCAAUCAAUUGUCUACCUACCUGUUCUUGAUCAAAAAACUCUCAUUUCUUUCUUAGUGCAUUAAAUCAUCACUUGCAUAACUUUAGUGCACUCUUGUGAAUCAUCCUAACUUUCUUUUGUAUUUGAGUCAUCCUUAAGCUAGGUUGAGAGUUUCAUCAUUGUAUAAACUGAGUGUGAAAGCCUUCAAGAGGUUCAAAUCUUGAAGAGAUUGUGUAGGAGUCCAUUGGAACCAGAAUCAAAGUGUAAGAAGAUUGAAAGUCUGAUUAAAACUUCAAGUUAAUGGAACCCUCACUCGGUUAGGAGAUUAAGGAGAGUGAAUAUAGGUAAGGAAGUGUCGAACCACUAUAAACCCGAGUUUGAAUUUUCUAACUCUAUCUCUUUACUUUAUUUAUAUUGUGCAUAUAUUGUUGUGUUUGAAAAAGUUUUGAAAAAUCCAAUUCACCCCCCUUUUGGGUGUUUUCCUUAAUUAUUCAUAACCUUUGUUUUAUCAAGUUGGACUAUAAUUUUUUUAUAUAAUUGUUAUGCUAGGGUGGUACAGAAAUGAUAAUGGGGGAGAAGGGAAGUAUGGGAGUUUGAGGGCAAAAUAACUCUUUUAUUUAAAAAAAAAAAAAAAAAGUUGCACCUUAUAACCCCUUUACAAAAUUUUAAUUUGAAAUUAACCCUUUUUUUAUCUAAUAAGAGUCGCGUCAUAAAAAAUUGAAAUUUCAAUUACUGACUGCAACUUUAUUUUUGAACUAUAUUAUAAUUGGUAAUUAAGACUUCAUUUUUAAAUUGAAGCCUUAAUUAUCAAUUGAGCUUUAUUUUUAAAUUGAAAUCACAAUUGAUAAUUAAUAUUUUAUUUUUUAACUGAAAUCUCAAUUGUAAAUUGAGGCUUUAAUUAUUUUAUUUUUAUUUUAAACUUUAAUUAAAAAUAUUAAAUUACAAAUUAUUAUUAAAAUUAAAAAUAUAUACUUUAACAAUAAAAAUUUUAUAUAUUUAAAUUUAAAGACGUAGCAUUACUUCAAUAAAGAUAAAUUGAUAAAUAUAAUAAUAAAUAUAUAUUUUAUUUAUCAAUAAAUUAAUAAUCUUAAAAAAAUAAAAUUAUAUAAGAUAUAAAAUUAUAUAAUUUAUUAAUUUAAGACAUUUAAUUUAAUAUCUUUUAUUUAUAUUUUGAUAAAUUUAUCUUUAUUGAAAUAAUAGUACACUCUUAAGUUUCAUUUUUUAUUAUUUUAAAGCAUAUGUUUAUAAUUUUAGGUAAAAAAAAAGAUCAUUAUUUAUACAUACCAUAUAUAUGUCUUCAAGAUACAUUUGAAAUUAGUUAAUGAAAUUAAUUAAAAAAAGUCUACCGAUAUUUUUUAGUAGUUUUAUCAAAUUCACAAAAUAUACCCAUUAAUAAUAUAUUUAUAACUAAUUAUAUUUAUAUUAAAUAUAGUACCAAUUAUUUUAAUAAAAUUAAAUAAAAAUAUUUUUAUAUCAAAUUAAAAAAUAUUGAUUAUUUAAUUUUAUAUAUUUUUAUUAUUUAAAUAAUGAGAUAAAUUUACUAAUUAUUCACAUAUUUUUAAUAAAUAUAAAAUUAAAAUAAUAUAAUAUUUUUAUUUUAAAAAAUAAAAAUAAAAAAUUUUCAAAUGAAAUAACAUAAUUAUAUAUAUAUAUAUAUAUAUAUAUAUAUAUAAUUAAAAUUAAAAUUAUAGUUGAGAACUAUGAUUUUUUGAUCGUUUUGAAAAAAUAAGAUGAAAGUCACUAAUUACAAUUUUAUGAUAUGAUAAUUUACGUGGCACAAGCUUAAAUAAAACAUUAUUAUUAUUACGGUUUUAUUAAAUGAUAAUUUACGUCGUACAAGCACAUUAAAUGAAGCUUUAUUUUGAAAAUUGGUUUACUUUAUGGAAUUUUUUUUUAUUAAAAAAUAUUUUUUUAGUAUGAAAAAUAAUGUUUCUAUUUUUUAAAAAUAAAAGUGUUUUUAAAAAUAGUUAAAAACAUGCUCGAAAGUUUUGAUUGGACGGUGGUUUAAUAAGCAUAACAAUCUGUCAUCCUUGUGUUUUCAAUUAAAGCAAAUAUCUUUGGACUUGGAGUCCUUGCUCGAGUAUAAGGAGGUAUUAUUAUUGUGGACCCUCUUGUCCACUCUAAGCUGAAACUCUGUGGUUUAUGUUAUUAGCUGGCUUUUCAAUCAUGGCUUUUCAAUCAUUCUGACAAAUAACAAUGAAGAACUUGAGCGGCUAGAAGAAGUUGAUGAUUAACUAGAUCCAAACCAUAAAUCGAAGCUCAACCCAAGGACUUGAUAAUUUAAAAAAGUUAUGAUUAAAUUAUUGUAAUAGAAGAAGUUAUUAUAAAUAUAUAGUAGUUUUUACCAUCUAGGAGAGAGGAGAUAGUAAAGAGGAGAGAGGGUGAACGGAUAAAUUUUUUUAAAACCAAAAUCAUCUUUUCAAAUUUCAAAAGGUGAAAUUGUCUUUUCGAACAAAGGGAACUUGUCUCUUCAAGAGACGAGUUCCAUGAAAAAAAAUAUAUAUAUACUUUUUUAAAAAUUCCCCAUUUACUCAAAGGAACUCGUCUCUUCAAGAGACGAGUUCCAUGAAAUAUAUAUAUAUAUUUAAAAAAAUUCCCAAAUUAAAAAAAAAAAAAAACAAGGAACUCGUCUCUUCAAGAGACGAGUUCCCUGAAAAAAAAUAUAUUUUUAAAAGAAUUCCCAAAUUAUAAAAUAAAAAAAAUUUUAAAAAAAAAACAAUUCGGAACUUGUCUCUUGAAGAGACGAGUUCCCUGAAAAAAAAUAUAUAUUUUUUUUUUAAAUUCCCAAAUUAUUAAAAAAAAAAAAAAAAUCAAUUCCUCAAGGGAACUCGUCUCUUGAAGAGACAAGUUCCCAUGAAAAAUAUAUAUAUAUAUAUAUAUAUAUAUAUAUAUUUUAAAAAAAUUCCCAAAUUAAAAAAAAAAAAAUCAAUUCCUCAAGGUAACUCGUCUUUUCAAGAGACGAGUUCCCAUGGAAUUCAAAAAUUCCCAAAUUAAAAAAUAAUAAUAAUAAUAAUUUCCUCAAGGGAACUCGUCUCACGAGUUCCCAUGGAAAAAAAAUAUAUAUUUUAAAUAUAUAUAUAUAUAUAUAUUUUUUUUUUUUUUAAAAAAAAAUUUCCUCAAGGGAAAUCGUCUAGUUCCCUGAAUAUAUAUAUAUAAAUUAUUAAAAUAAAAAAAAAAAAAAUUCCUCNNNNNNNNNNNNNNNNNNNNNNNNNNNNNNNNNNNNNNNNNNNNNNNNNNNNNNNNNNNNNNNNNNNNNNNNNNNNNNNNNNNNNNNNNNNNNNNNNNNNNNNNNNNNNNNNNNNNNNNNNNNNNNNNNNNNNNNNNNNNNNNNNNNNNNNNNNNNNNNNNNNNNNNNNNNNNNNNNNNAAAAAAAAAAUUUUUUUUUUUUAUGGAGACUUUUUUUUUGAAAGAAAACGAGUUCCCCUUGGGGAAUUUUUUUCUUUUUUUAAAAAAAUUUGGGAAUUUUUUUUUUCCAUGGGAACUCGUCUCUUGGAAAGACGAGUUCCCUUGAGGAAUUGUUUUUUUUUUUUUUUUAAAUUUAAUAAUUUGGGAAUUUUAUAUAUAUAUAUAUAUAUACAUAUAUAUAUAUUUUCAUGGAACUCGUCUCUUGAAGAGACGAGUUCCCUUGAGGAAAUAUAUAUAUAUUUUUUUUUCAAUUUGAGACUUUUAAAAAAAUAUAUAUAUAUAUAUAUAUUUUUAAAAAAAUAUUUUUUUUUUCCAUGGAACUCGUCUCUUGAAGAGACGAGUUCCCUUGGAGGAAAUUCCUUUUUUUUGUUUUUUUUUUUUUAAUUUGGGAAUUUAAAAAAUAUAUAUAUAUACUUUUAAAUUUUUUUUUCCAUGGGAACUCGUCUCUUGAAGAGACGAGUUCCCUUGAGGAAUUUUUUUUUUUUUUUUUUUUGGGAAUUUUUUUAAAAAAAAUAAAAAAUAUAUAUAUUUUUUUUUCCAUGGGAACUCGUCUCUUGAAGAGACGAGUUCCCUUGAAAUUCUUUUUUUUUUUUUUUAAUUUUUAAUUUGGGAAUUUUUUUUUAAAUAUAUAUUUUUUUAAAAAAAUAUUUUUUUUUUCCAUAGGAACUCGUCUCUUCAAGAGACGAGUUCCCUUNNNNNNNNNNNNNNNNNNNNNNNNNNNNNNNNNNNNNNNNNNNNNNNNNNNNNNNNNNNNNNNNNNNNNNNNNNNNNNNNNNNNNNNNNNNNACGUGUUCCCCGAGUUCCCAUGAGGAAUGAUUUUUUCAUUUUAUGAAUUAUUUUUUUUUAAUUUGGAAAAUUUUUUUUUCUGUGGAAACUCCUAUCUAGAAGAGACGGAGUUCCCGUGAGGAUUUUUGUUUCUUUUUUAAUAAAUUGGGAAUUUUUUAAAAAUAUAUAUAUAUAUUUUAUAUAUAUAUAUAUAUUUCCAGGGAACUCGUCUCCUUAAGGAAUUGUUAUUUUUUUUUUUUAAUUUGAGAAUUUUUUUUAUAAAAAAUAUAUAUAUAUUUUUUCAUGGAACUCGUCUCUUGAAUAGACGAGUUCCUUUAAGGAGUUUUUUUUAAUAAAUGAGGAAUUUUUUUAAAUAUAUAUAUAUAUAUUUUUUAAAAUAUAUAUAUAUUUUUAAAAAAAUAUACAUAUAUUUUUUUUCAUGGAACUCGUCUCUUCACGAUUUCGCUUUUUGAAAUUUGAAAAUAUGAUUUUGGUUUUAAAAAAAUUUAUCCAUUCACCCUCUCUCCUAUCUCCUCUCUCCUAGGUGGCAAAAACUACCAUAUAUUUGUAAUAACUUCUUAGGAGAAUUAUCUUUUAGGGGUAGAUGGGUUCUCAAAUUAACAAAAGGUCCAUAUAACCCUUCAAAUUGAGUUGAAGGAUAUGAAAUAGUAACGGGCAAAUAUACCCUUUAAGAACAUAUAUAAAAUAUUUUAUAAAAUUAAGUUAAAUAAUUUUUUUUCAAUAAUUUUUUUUUCAAAAAUAUUAAAUUAAAUAAAAGUAGUUUUCAAAAAUAUUAAAUUAAAUAAUUUUUUUUCAAAAAUAUUAAAUUAAUUUUUUUUUCAAAAAUGUUAAAUUAAUUUUUUUUUCAAAAAUAUUAAAUUAAAUUAAAGUAUUUAAAAAAAUAUUAAAUAAAAUAUUUUUUUUAAAUAUUAAAUUAAAUAAAUUUAUUUUUAAAAAAUAUUAAAUUAAAUAAAUUUAUUUUUUAAAAAUAUUAAAUAAAAUAAAAGUAUUUUAAAAAUUAUUAAAUUACAUAAAAGUAUUUUUCAAAAAUAUUAAUUUUUUUUCUCAAAAUCAACAAAGGGCAUUUUUGGAAAUACUGAAGAAUGAUAUCCUUCAAUUUAAUUUCCAUACUUUCAUUGGGUCUUGGGCUUAAUUUGAAGAGUUACAUGGACCUUUUGUUAAUUUGGGGGCCCAUCUACCCCCAAAACAUAAUUCUCCCUAACUUCUUCUACUACAAUAAUUUAAGCAUAACUUUUUUAAAUUACCGUACUAUUAAGAAAAGUCCCUCAACCCAAUCACUCUAAAUAAUCAAUUCACACCCUACCCACUCUCAUUUCUUUUUCAAGUUUAGGUUAAGUUGGGUACGAUUAGAUUAAAUUCGGAUUAAUUAGGUAGUAUAAUUCAAAAUUUAUUUAUAAUAUUUUAAAAAAUAUUGUAAGAGAAAAUUUUAAGAUAACAAAAUAAAUAAAUAAAUUUACAUAUUUUUUUAAAAAUAAAAAAAUAUAUGAUGUAAUAUAUUUUGAUAUAUUUUCUCUUUAUAAUCUUUAUUUCAUAGAAUAAUAUACAUUAUAAAUAUUAAAUCGGUUCGAAUUAGAUCUCAAUUAUAUGAAUCUUUGCCUCAACACAAUCCAAAUUAAACUCAAACUAAAAGACCUAACUCAACCCGAGUAUUAUUAACUCGGAUUGAAAAAACCUAAAAGUUGGAACACAAUCUGUAGACCCCCUUUGGUGGAAAAAGGCCCGGGGGGGAAGUGAUUUCUCAAGGACUUCUCAUUAUAUUUUAGAAGGGGUAGGGGACCCCAGCGGCUGACUGAUGGACCCCUUCUCUAGGCACGGACGUGCAACUGCAGGGGGGCGGUUGCAAGCCCAUGCUGGCUGAUGCAUGAACAGGAGGGUGGGUGAUGGUUAGCUGAGGAAGAAAAAACGGAGGAAGAAAGAAAAGAGGGGGGAGGUUUUUUUGGCAAGUCUGCGGGGGGAUCCCAGGAGAGCAAAAGCAGAGAGAAAAAAAAAGAGGACUGGAGGUACAUACGGGGUGUUUUCUUUGCUCAUUUUGGCUAGAGAGGAGCUCUCCCAAGUGCGGUAUUGUGGAUUUUUAUUGUUCAUGUUUCUGAUUACAUUGUUAUUCAUGCAUAUUUCUUGUUACUUCUUUUAGCUUUCAUUUGCUACUCGGAUGUGACUAUUCUGCUAUUCUCUCAUUCUCUUUGUUUUUUUGUUUGGGGCUACCAUGCGUAUGGGUUCAUCCAAAUCAUGUUAAUGCUCUCGUUCAUGGCCCACGGAUUCACAUAUGAAAAUGAGGUUCCAUAAGUUUGCAUUUUCUUUUUUUUCUUUUUUUUCUUUCUCUGUUUCUUCCUUGGGGACACGAGGACUUCUCCUUCUUUUUGUGGGACUGGUCUCGGCUCGGAGGGAUGUGAGGAGGUUUUGAGAGAGAGAGAGGGAAUUGUAGGAAGAACUAGCCGCAAGCUUGAGAGAAAAGAUGAGCAUGAGGGCAAAUCUGGAACUGAUAACAUGGACGACGUUUCCGGGAAUGAUCAGGUUGCUGCUGACAACCCACGAAGGAAGAAGAGAUACCACCGACACGCUCUUCGGCAAAUCCAAGAAUUUGAAGCACUGCUCCAGGAGUGUCUUCAUCCUGGUGAAAAGCAAGGGUUGAGACUCCGCAAAAGGCUUUGCUUGGAGACUAGGCAAGUGAAGUUCUGGAUCCCAAAUCGUCGCACUCCCUAUUAUUCCAGUUCUUGGUGAUAAUCUGAAGCUUGAGGUAGAAAGGUUGAAGAAAGAGAAGUUGUCCUUUGCAUUGUCACGGGGCGUUUUUUUUAUUGGGAGAAUUAUCUUUUGGGGUAGAUGACCCCAAAUUAAUAAAAGUUCCAUAUAACUCUUCAAAUUGAGUUGAAGGAUAUGAAAUAGUAAUGGACAAAUAUACCAUUUAAUAACACAUAUAAAAUAUUUUAUAAAAUUAAGUUAAAUAAUUUUUUUUUAAUAAUUUUUUUUUUCAAAAAUACUAAAUUAAAUAAAAGUAGUUUUCAAAAAUAUUAAAUUAAAUAAUUUUUUUUUUGAAAAUAUUAAAUUAAAUUUUUUUUCAAAAAUAUUAAAUUAAAUUAAAGUAUUUAAAAAAAAUAUUAAAUUAAAUAUUUUUUUAAAUAUUAAAUUAAAUAAAUUUAUUUUUUAAAAUAUUAAAUUAAAUAAAAGUAUUUUAAAAAAUAUUAAAUUACAUAAAAUUAUUUUUUUUUAAAUAUUAAAUUAAAUAAAAGUAUUUUUUAAAAAUAUUAAUUUUUUUUUCUCAAAAUCAACAAAGGGCAUUGUUGGAAAUGUUGAAGGAUGAUAUCCUUCAACUCAAUUUCCACACUUUCAUUGGGUCUUGGGCUCAAUUUGAAGAGUUGCAUAGACCUUUUGUUAAUUUGGGGGCCCAUCUACCCCCAAAACAUAAUUCUCCCUUUUUUCUUUUACCACUCAAACGUCUUCUUAUUCUCUCUCAUGCGUAACACCCAUAUUUUUCCUUGACUUUUCCCCCACUCAAAUAUCCUUCCAUCCUCUGUCUUAUACAUGCAGCCACAUGUUUUGCUCCCAAACCUAUUUAAUAUGUGGGGACCACAUGUUUUGCUCUCAAAUCUGAGUUUAAGACCAAAAUAAUUUAUUUGUAAAAAAAAAUGAUAAGAAUAGUAUCCAUUUGAAAAUAUUUGUCAAAGUAGUCUUCUUUGUCCACGUAAGCAUCCAUAUGGAUUUUAAGUAUAAAAAACCACCGUUGAUGACUGUGGUUUUAAAACUUAUAGAAAUUUCCUUAAAACCACAGUUACAAACUGUGGUUUUAUAAUUUCUCUUAGAACCACAGUUACUAACUGCGGUUUUAAAAGAAGUUUCCUUAAAACCACAGUUACAAACUGUGGUUUUACAAUUUCCCUUAAAACCACAGUUAGUAACUGUGGUUUUACAAUCAUUUUCAAUCCGCAUCUAUUUUAAUGGUGUUAUAAUUUUAAUAUUAUUUUUAAAAUAUUUUUUUUAUCAAAAUUACAAUUAUGUUGUAAUUUUUUAUCAAAAUAUUUUUUUAUCAAAAUAAUUGUAAAACCACAGUUACUAACUGUGGUUUUAAGGGAAAUUGUAAAACCACAAUUUGUAACUGUGGUUUUAAGGAUAUUUCUUUUAAAACCAUAGUUAUAGUAACUAUGGUUUUAUGGGUAUUUUGAUAAAAAAAAAUUUUAAAAAUAAUAUUAAAAUUACAACACCAUUAAAAUAGAUGUGGAUUGAAAAUAAUUGUAAAACCACAGUUAGUAACUGUGGUUUUAUGGUUGUUUUGAUAAAAAAUAUUUUUAAAAUAAUAUUAAAAUUACAAUACUAUUAAAACAGGUGUGGAAUAAAAAUAAUUGUAAAAUCAUAGUUACUAAUUGUGGUUUUAAGGGAAAUUGUAAAAUCAUGGUUUGUAACUGUGGUUUUAAGGAUAUUUCUUUUAAAACCAUAGUUAUAAUAACUAUGGUUUUAUGGGUAUUUUGAUAAAAAAAAAUAUUUUAAAAAUAAUAUUAAAAUGUAAAACCAUAGUUACUAAUUGUGGUUUUAUGGUUAUUUUGAUAAAAAUUAUUUUAAAAAUAAUAUUAAAAUUACAACACCAUUAGUAAAACCACAGUUAGUAACUGUGGUUUUAUGGUUGUUUUGAUAAAAAAAUAUUUUAAAAAUAAUAUUAAAAUUAUAACACCAUUAAAAUGGGGAUGGAUUAAAAAUAAUUGUAAAACCACAGUUACUAACUGUGGUUUUAAGGGAAAUUGUAAAACCACAGUUUGUAACUGUGGUUUUAAGGAAACUUCUUUUAAAACCGUAGUUAGUAACUGUGGUUCUAAGAGAAAUUAUAAAACCACAGUUUGUAACUGUGGUUUUAAGGAAAUUUCUAUAAGUUUUAAAACCACAGUCACCAAUGGUGGUUUUUUACACUUAAAAUCCAUGUGGAUGCUUAUGUGGACAAAGAAGACUACUUUGACAAAUAUUUUCAAAUGGAUACUAUUCUUAUCAUUUUUUUUUACAAAUAAAUUAUUUUGGUCUUAAACUCCUCAAAUCUCUUAAAUAUAUGGUGGUCCCGGUGAUUUUCUUUUCUUUGCCAUCUAACCACUCCUAAUAACAAAGCCACAACUUAUAUUUUAAUAUUAUUACUUAUGUCUCCAUAUUUUAAUAUCCACCCGAAAAUCUCAAUUCUAAAUCUAAUUUUCAAAAUCUCAAUUUUCAUUUAAUUUCCAAAAUUCAACUUCCACAUUUAUUUGUUUAAUUACCAUUAUUAUUGUAAUUAUUAUUAUUGUUACUAUUAUUAUCAUUAUUUUAUCCAUUUAUUUAUUUUUAAAUUCCAUUCUCAAAUUUUAUUUAUUUAUUUAUUUUUAAAUUCCAUCUUUUAAACAAUUUUCAUAAUUGAAGUUUCAAUUUAAAAAAAAUCCCAAUAUUUGCAUUCAUUAUUUAAUUAUUAUUUUCGUUUUUAUUAUUAUUCUUUUUAUUUAUUCAUUUAUUUAUUCUUAAAAAUUUCAUCUUUAAACAAUUCUUCAAAAUUCUGAUUUUUAAAUUUAAUUCCAAUUUUCGAAAUUCCAAUUUUUAUAUUAAUUUAUUUAAUCAUUAUCACUUUAUUCAUUUAUUUAUUUGUUUAUUUUUAAAAUUUCAUCUUUAAACAAUUCUUCAAAAUUCCAAUUUUUGAACUUAAUUUCUAAUUUCCAAAAUUCUAAUUUCUUUUAAAUUUAAUUCCCAAAAUUCCAAUUUUCAAAUUUAAUUCCCAAAGCUCCAAUUUUCAAAUAAAUUCCAAAAAUCCAAUUUUCACUUGAACAAUUUUAAUUCUACUUCGAUUCUAAAACCUUAUGUUUUUCUUGGUUUUACAUAAGUAAGAAUAAUGAAUUUUCAUAAUUUCAAAAUAAUGAAAUUUGUGAUAUUAAUUCAUGUAAGAUCAAUCGGGAUUUGGUGGAGGCCCCACAUACAUGAUUUUAUGAUUGAUUGAUUUAUUUAUUGAUUUGUUUGUCACGCGCGAUUGAUUUAUUCCACUCUAUGACAUGCAUGUGAUUAUUCUGUGUUUAAUUGCGAACAUUCGCUUUCAUUGAAGUAAACCGGUUCAUCACUCAGGUAUAUUCUUUGCCUCUCCUAUUCAUUCAAUUAUUUUGUUUUGAGUGAUAUUCCUUCAGUAUCCAUGCUCGAUUAAUUAAUUGUCAUCAUUACUUCAUUCUAUUAGUAGAGACUCGACUUUAGAGACUUAGAGGGGUGCUAUGGUCUUUAUCGUACCUUCUUGAUAAGUAACCUGACCUCCGAACCCGAUCCGGUUUUUCGUAGACCACAUUUUCCAAAUAAGGAGUCACACUUAGGGUUUUUCUUUCUUAUUUUAUUUACCCUUUUAAAAAUAAAACAAAAAUAAGUGGCGAAUUCAAGUCAUUUUUAAAUAAAUAAAAUCAUAAUUUUUCAAAUAAAAAUCGAGCUCACCAUCGAGUGGGGAAACGCAUGAGCCGAAAUGCGGGAUCCACACAAUUCAAAUUAUACUUGGAUUGGAAAAAUCUAAUUUAAUCAUAGUAUUAAAAAUUAUUAUUCAAACUCAUUUAAAUAUUAAAUUAGAUUUAGGUUGCAUCAAUUGUAUGUGUGUCGUGAUUGUAUGAAGAAAUAGUUUUUUAAAAAUAUUUUUUCAAACGAAAUCUCUAAUAUUUCAUAGAAUAAAAAUUUGGUUAACAUCUUAGAAGGUAGGAACCUAUAUUUUAAAAUAUUUUUUUAAAAAUAGUUCUUAUUUAAAUUAUUGAUAUAUUUGUGAUUAAUUUUUAAAAUGAAGCAAUCUCAUGCACAUUAUAUUUAAAUUAUCUUUACAACCACCAAUUAUAUUAUUGAACUAUUUAUUCUAUAAAAAUUGUAAAAUAUUUAAAAUUUUGUAAAAAUAAUAAGAUGUGAAAUAAAAUUUGCCACUUAUUUUAUGAUAUAAGGUUUUAAUACUAAGACCUUGUGAAAAAUAAUCAUUUAUAACUAAAUUAAAUUAAAAUGAGCAUUUAUUAUUAAAAAUCAGAAUUAUAAUCAAUCAAUUAUUAAUUAAAAAUGGUAUUAUUAAUUGCAAUUUAUUAUUAUUAUUUUUAUAUAUAGGAGAUUGGAUUAAAUAUUGAAAGCAUUUUUUGGAAGUGGAAAAAGAUUGUUAAAAUAAUAAUAAAAAAAUUUGAAAAUUUUGGAGAGUGCCAAGAACGUGGGAAUGGUACAAAAAUGUGAGGAAAUUUAUGUGUUUUUAAUUUAAAAUUUUUUUGUGCUUAACUUCCAUCGUUUACGGGGAUGAUUAGUAUACCUAAGCAACAUUGACGCAACAAAUUUAAAAUAAAUUUAAAAAUUAGAGGGUAUGAAUGUAAUCAAUAUUUUAAAACAAUAUCAUAACUAUUUGAAAUUUUGGAGUGGAAUUUAAAAAAAUAAUAAUAAUAUAAGUAUUUAUUGUUAAUUAGUAAUUGAAAAUUGUAUUAUUAAUUUUUUAUUGUAAAUUUGAUUUCUUUUUUUGGGGAAAAAGAUUGGAUGAAAUAUUAAAAGUAGGAAAAAACAAUAUAAUGGCUAAUUGAAGUUGAAAAAGAAAUUGUAUGAUUUCAAUUAAUUCUAAGUGUAAUUUGAGCUCUCUCCAAUUUUUUAAUGUAUCAUUUUUAAAAUUGUUUGGAGGAUAUUUUUCAUCAUUCGUAAGGUUCAUUUGUAUGGAUAAACAAUAUCGUUACAUUUCCAAGUCAAAAAAAUCUUAAAAUUGGAAAAUUAUUUUUUAGUGUUUUAAAAUUUUAAUUUUUUUAAUAAUAAUUUUCAUCAUUUGUAAGCUUGAUUAGUAUAGAUAAACAAUAUAUAUUUCAAUUUCAAAUUAAUUUAUUUUUCUUAGAAUUGGAAAAAAAAAUAUAAAAAUCCAAUGGUGUGAAGAAUUUGGAAAAUGGUACAAAGAAUAUGAGAAUCUUCACAUUUUUUGUACCCCUCUCUAAUUUUUUAGUGUUUUAAUUUUUAAAUUUUUUUGAGAAUAUUUUUCAUCAUUUUUUAAGGUUAAUUAGUAUGGAUUGCAUUUUCAAGUGGUUUAUUUUUUUUCUUUUACAUUAUAAAAUUAUGGGGAUUCGAAGAAGAAUGUGAAAAAUGAUACAAAGGAUGUGAUGAUUCUUAUAUUAUUUAUAUAAUUCCUCACAUUUUUUAUACCCUCCACAAUUUUUUAGUAUUUUAAUUUUUAAUUUUUUUAAAUAUAAGUUCCAUCAUUUCUAAAUUUAAUUACUAUUAGUAAACAAUAUUAUUGUAUUUAUAAGUGAAUUUUUUUUUUCAAAAAUUGUAAAAUUUCAAUGGUACAAAAAACGUGAGGAAGCAUAUGAAAAAUAUGAGUAAGGGUACUUACACCCGACACCCAUCGCGCACGCAUUUUGAGGCGUUGGUGCUACUGUUUUUGCACGUAUCCCAAGUCAUACGAUGCUCUAGUCUUGUAAGGUACUAUGAUUUUAUGCAACACAACACCCGACACCAUCGCAUUCGAAGGCAUGGUCUACAAUGUUUGCACGCAUCCCGAGGCAUACUAUUCUACAAUGCCCAUGAGGAAUAUGAUUUUGAGAGAAUUAUGUUUUAGGGAUAGAUGAGCCCCAAAUUACCAAAAGGUCCGUGUAGCUCUUCAAAUUGAGCCUAAGACUCAAUGAAAGUAUGGAAAUUGAGUUAAAGGAUAUUAUCCUUCGGUAUUUCAAAAAAUGCAAUUUGUUGAUUUUGAGAAAAAAAUUAAUAUUUUUGAAAAAUACUUUUAUUUAAUUUAAUAUUUUUUAAAAAUAUUUUUGAUUUAAUUUAAUAUUUUAAAAACAUACUUUUAUGUAAUUUAAUAAUUUUUAAAAAUAUUUUUAUUUAAUUUAAUAUUUUUUAAAAAUAGUUUUAUUUAAUUUAAUAUUUUUGAAAAAAAAUUAUUUAAUUUAAUAUUUUUGAAAAAAAAAUUUUAAUUUAAUAUUUUUGAAAACCACUUUUAUUUAAUUUAGUAUUUUUGAAAAAAAAGUUAUUGAAAAAAAAUUAUUUAACUUAAUUUUAUAAAAUAUUUUAUAUUUGUUCUUAAAGGGUAUAUUUGUUCGUUACUAUUUCAUAUCUUUCAAUUCAAUUUGAAGAGUUAUAUGGACCUUUUGUUAAUUUGGGGGUAAUUUACCCCUAAAACAUAAUUCUCCCUAUGAUUUUAUGCAACAUAGUACUCGACACCAUCACGCAGCAUCCCGAGGCACAUGUGCUACAGUGUUUGCGCGCAUUCCGACUGUACGGUCUAUAGUGCUACAAGGUAAUAUGAUUUUAUGCAACACUCCACCUUGACACCAUCAUGCACACAUCUCGAGGCAUGUAUGCUAUAGUGUUUCCACGCAUCCCAAUGUGUAUCAUCGCAUUCUUUAUACCCUCUCAAAUUUUUUAAUGUUUUAAUUUUCUAAUUUUUUUAAAGGUAAUUUACAUCAUUUCUAUUUUUUAAUUCUUUUUUUUAACAAUUCUAUCAAUAAUAACUCAAAAUAAUAUUUUUUAACUAUUUUAUUCUCAUUUCAAGUUAAAAAACAAAUCUAAAAUUUUAAAAUUUUAAAUAAUUUAGGUUGUAAAAAACAUGAGAUUAGUAAAAAAAUAUGAGAAAGGUACAAAAAAUAUAUGAUAAAUACAUAUUUGGUACUUUCAUCACAUUUUUCAUAUCGAUUUUUUGUUUUUAAUUUGUUUAAAUUACAAAUUUAUUUUUGAAAAUAUAAUCAUUAGUAACUCAAAAGAGUAUUAGUAAUUUUAAUUUAAAACAUUAAAUUAAAAAAAAUAAUAUUUGGAGAGUAUAAAAAAAAUAUUAAGACGGUCUAAUUAUCUAAGUUUUUUAUAUGAUUAUAAAAAUAUUGAAUUUUAAUAUAAAUACUCAUUUCAUAUUAAAAUAUUAUCAUAUUUAUUUUUAUUCUGAAUUUAGAUAUUUAAUAAUUUAUAAAAAAUAAAAUUAUGUAGUUAUGAUAUGUGAUAGAAUUUUUUUUUCUUAAUAAAUAUGUUUUACAAAUUUUAUAUCGAUUUUAUUUUUAUUUUUAUACCAUUCCAUUUUUACUUAUCUAUUUUAUUAUAAUUUUAAUUUAAAAUUCUUAAAUUCAAAAAAUAUAAAUUUUGGAGAAUACGGAAAAUAUUAGGAUGAUCUAAUUAUCUAAGCUUUAUAUAUGAUUAUUAAAAUAUUAAAUUUUUAUUUUAAUAUUUUUUAAUAGUUAUAUGGUAAAAAUAGUAAUAAAAUUAAUGAAAUCCAUUUAAUAAGAAAUAUAAGAACAAAUAUUUUUAUUAUUAAUAAUAAUAAUAAUUAGAAAAUAUCUUCAGCCUUGUAUUAUUACCGUGGUCCUACCGUCUACUCAAAACUGAAAAUAUGGUGGCAUUAUUAGCUGGCUUUUCAAUCAUUCUGAUGAAGAAAGUAACAAAAUAGAGAGAGAGAUGAGAAAUGUUGAACUGCUGGUUGCAUUAUUGGCCAGCUGGCUUUGAAUCAUUCUGACGAAGAAAGCGAUAAGACUGAUAGGAAAAUGACCUGAGUUUUGAUAGGGUAGCCUUUUUAAAAAUCAUUAUCACACUAGAUUAGUAUCCUUCCCGAUAUUUUAAAUUUUAGUGCAGUGCGGCCGGUUCUUGGAAAAACGGUUCAAUUACCCCCCUUUAAACAGGUCCUCCUUCCAUUUAAUGGAUUUUUGGCAGAAGCCCAACCCAUAUUGCCACCACCUACUUGUUGCAUUGGCAUUAUUUAUAAGCUUAAUUAAUGUCAAUAAACAAUAUUAUUGUAUUAGCAAGUGAAAAAAAAAAAAUUCAAAAAACUCAAAAAGUUAUAAAAUUUUGUCAAAAAUGGUACAAAAAAUGUGAGUUACUCGCAUUCUUCGUAUCCUUCCCAAUUUUUUAGUGUUUUAAUUUUUAAAUUUUUUAGAAGAUAAUUUUUAUUAUCUCUAAGCUUAAUUAGUAUUAAUUAACAAUAUUAUUGUAUUUUCAAAUGAAAAAAAAAAUCAUUAAAUCAUUAAAUUUCUCACUUUCUUAAUACCUUCCUCAAUUUUUUAAUGUUUUAAUUUUUAAAUUUUUUUGAGGAUAAUUCCCAUCCUUUCUAAGCUUAAUAAAUAUCAAUAAAUAAUAUUAUUGUAUUUUCAAGUGAAAAAAAUUUGAAAAAUUGUAAAAUUUUAAGGGUAUGAAGAAUAUGAAGAAGGGUACGAAGAAUAUAAGGCAUCGUAUUUUUUGUACCAUUUCUCACAUUUUUUUGUACCUUUUACAUUUACUAAGUGUUUUUAAUUUUUAAUUUUUAAAAAAAAUAAUUUUCAUAACUUCUAGCCUUUGAAAAAAUUAUAAAAUUUUGAUAAUACAAAAAAUGUGAGGAAAGGUACUAAAAAUAUUAGGAUUCCUCUUAUUUUUCAUAUAAUUUCUUAUAUUCUUUGUACCCUUUACAAUUAUUUAGUGUUUUAAUUUUUAAUUUUUUUAGAAUAAUUUUCAUCAUUUCUAAGUUUAAUUAACAUCAAUAAGCAAUAUUAUUCUAUUCUAAGUGAAAUUUUUUUUGAAAAAUUAUAAAAUUUUGAGGAUACAAAAAAUAUGAGGAAGGGCACAUCCUUUCCAAUUUUUUAGUAUUUUCAUUUCUAAUUUUUUAAGGAUAAUUUAUACCAUUUCCAUUUUUUUAUUUAUAAUUCCAUCAAGAUUCAAGAAUAACUCAAAAUAAUAAUAUUAAACUAUUUUAUUAUCAUUUUAAAUUAAAAAGUAAAUCUAAAAUUAAGAAGAUGUAAAUAAUUUAAGGUACAAAAAAUGUGAGGUUAAAACAAAAAAUGUGAAACGGAUAUAAAUAUUAAAUAAUGUGAUAAAUACAUGUUUGGUGCCUUCAUCACAUUUUAAUACAUGCUUGGUAUGUUGAUCACAUUUUUCAUAUCAAUUUUUUGAAAUUAAAAAUUUAUUUUUAAAAAUAGUAUCAUUAGCAACUAAAAAGGGUAUUGAUAAUUUAUUUAUUAUAAUUUUAAUUUAAAAAUCUUAAAUUCAAAAAAUAUAAAUUUUGGAGAAUACGAAAAAUAUUAGGAUGAUCUAAUUAUCUAAGCUUUAUAUAUGAUUAUCAAAAUAUUAAAUUUUAAUGCAAAUACUUAUUUUAUAUUAAAAUAUUAUCAUAUUUAUUUUUAUAUCAAAUUUAAAUAUUUAAUAAUUUAUUAAAAAUAAAACAAUACAGUCAAAUAAUUAUUUUUUAAUCCAAUUCUAUUUUUAUUUCAAUAUUUAUCACAUAUUUAUUUUAUUUAAACCCAAAAUUGUGGGGAAAUGGGGAAGAAGAGGAAAAAGGAGAAGAGAGUGGAAGGUCACAACUGGUCCUUCCCGUUAAGUGGAUUUUUUUUUUUUUCAAAUUUAAAAUGGAUGGCCAACAUGUAAUCUUGGACAUCCAAUGGCUUAAAAAAAAUUUGUACAGUACCGAAGGAGGUACCCUAGAAUUGUCCAUCAAAAGUCAGGAACCCACCAUCAAGAAGAGGGUCCAACCGGAUACCUAUUCAAAAGUGUCAUCAGUCUCAUCAUUUAUUUCUCACUGCUUUCCAUCCAUUACUUUCUUUUUUUAUUCAAUUCAUUUGCUUAUUACCCUUUUUGUUUUUCCUUUUUUAUUUUCUUACAUCUUUUCAUCCCAAUAUUUAUACUUUUCAUCAAAUAACUUAAAUUUAUAUAUAUAUAUAUAUAUAUAUAUUUUUUUUUUUAAUUAAUAUAAUUUUAUUAUGCUAUUAAUAUUUAAAAUUAUUCAUGUUAUUAUUCAUAUCAUUUUUAUUAAUAUUAUCUAUCAUUUUUAUAAUUAUUAUUCACCUUAUUAUUCAUAUCAUUUUCAUGAAAUUAAACUAGGAAAGGAAAGGAGCCGAGCAUUCGUUCCAAACGGAGAGAUGAAAAGUAGAAUGAUCUCUAGUGAAUAUGAGUAACGCUAGGAAAAAUGACAAAGGAGAUGAGAAAGCUCAAGUAGAACGAGGAAAGUCAAUGGUUUUUGCAAGCAAAAAUCAGCAGCAGAGGUCAUCAAGAAAAGAGUAACGAAAUUGAGAUAUAAGUAACACACUAACACCAAGCAGAUUCCUGCCGUAGGGCUGAAUGUGAAGGGGGUAUGUUGGGACGUCAUUUGUUUGUUUGGCCCUGGUCAGCCGUACCACCGAGCUGUGCCAGACGGGGGCAUCACAGCCGGAAUGGGCCGGACCGGAGUGGCCUUCCCAGGAUUCGAACUCAAGUCCUAGCCUUAAGGACGUUGAGGUUGCUCUUCUGGUACCAUAUCCCAUUUCGGGUGUGAUUCCCCCGUNNNNNNNNNNNNNNNNNNNNNNNNNNNNNNNNNNNNNNNNNNNNNNNNNNNNNNNNNNNNNNNNNNNNNNNNNNNNNNNNNNNNNNNNNNNNNNNNNNNNCCAUUAACACUUUCCUCUUGGUUUGGUGUUAUAGCUGUUUUUUACAAGGUCCUGUUGGGACGUCAUUUGUUUGUUUGGCCCUGGUCAGCCGUACCACCGAGCUGUGCCAGACGGGGGCAUCACAGCCGGAAUGGGCCGGACCGGAGUGGCCUUCCCAGGAUUCGAACUCAAGUCCAAGCCUUAAGGACGUUGAGGUUGCCCUUCUGGUACCAUAGCCCAUUCCGGCUGUGAUGCCCCCGUCUGGCACAGCUCGGUGGUACGGCUGACCAGGGCCAAACAAACAAAUGACGUCCCAACAGGACCUUGGAAAAAACAGCUAUAACACCAAACCAAGAGGAAAGUGUUAAUGGCUUGAGGUAUAGAAAGUGUACGGGUGCAUUGGUCAGUGAGAGAAGCACGCUCACUGUUUGCAAUAAAGCGUGAGGCAGGUGAUGCGAAGAUGUAAUAAUAAAGUUAAUAAAGUUUUCAGUAAUUCUUGUGGUAUUUUAUCAUGAAUGCUGAAUGUGAAGGGCAGAGAGUCGGUAUGACAUGACUAAGCAAAAACCACCUAUAAAUUAUCAUACAAAACCAAGCAGAAAGUGUUAUGGCUUUAGGCGUAGAGAGGGUAAGAAUGCAUAACUGUUGGGAUGUGGAUAGCCAAGUCAUGACCAUUAAUCCGAGUUUCUGGCCGAAGUAGUAUUUCUUUGUAAAAAAAAACCCAAAGUAAUCCGGUUUUCAAACUAUUUGCCAAAAUACUCUUUUUAAUCCACAUAAGCAAUCCACGUCAACAACCAUCUUCGUCAAACCUGUUUUUUUCCUUUGGAGACCCAAUUCCAGAAAGUAUUCUCCACCAUCUGCAGCUCCAUUUUCUCUCCUCACCGGCUGCGGCUCCCACCAGUGGCUCCCACCAGCAACUCCACCAGCAGCUAGGUAAAUUUUUUUCGGGUUCAUGAGUUUUUUCCCACUCAUUUUCCUUAGCUUUCUUACCAACCAAACAGAGGAAAACAAGUUGUUUUGAAAAUUUUAAAAAUCUCAAGUUGUUUUCAAUUUCAUAGCUAUCCAAAAAACUUGAAAAACCCUUUCCUCCACCUUAUAUUCCUCUUAUCCUGGAACCCGAAAAACCCUAACCUUUGCCUCAUUUUCCUCUCAUCUCAGAAUCCUGAUAGUUGUCGAUCUGCCCAUGAUUCAUCUUCAUCGUGAUCCAAAAUAUGGAUUUCGGAUUGGAUGAAGGUGGGGGAGCGAGAAAGACUUGGAGAGGUUAAGGUUUAUACCUUAGCCACAGAUCCAUUCAGGGGAAGUUCGUUAUUGUUGUCUAUUUUACCAGAAUUAUUGCUCAAAUUAAAAUUACAGUGAUCAAGAUCUGAUAAUAGGUUGCUGUCCAACGGGUCUUCAGAAACAUAAUGACAUGUCUCAUGGUUGUCAAUAGAAAGACCAUUUUCUGGGUCAACCAUGAAGUGGCUAUCACUUGUAUCUGAGCCCAACAAACUGUGUUCACCCACAUUUUGUCCAGAAGCAUCUCCUGAUAUAAUAAAGUUAGCAAGAGUCUUUUGUGUCGGAUUAGAUAGAUGACCGUCUUUGUCCUCAUUGAAAUGAGACAUGCGCAGGCCUACAAAAGACAGCAGAAUUGGGGUUUCGAAAGGGAGAAAAAAAAAUUCUUUUUUCUAUAAAAAUGGAGUUAAUAUGUUGGAAAUUAACAUAGUUACAAUGCAUCAAGUGGCUAUUAAUUUUAGAAAAGAAUAUGUUUUAGUGAGUUCCUCAAAAUUGAGACAAAUGGUCUAUUGCUAUCUGGCUUUGAUUAUACUUGGAAUAAUGAUGAUGUAUUACAGGACAGGGCCAUCCCUGAUGAAUUUGUGACUACAAUAUCAUUUGGUUUAUUAUUUUCUGUUAUCCCUGCACAUGAAGUGUAAAAUUUUCUUUUUAGCCAAUUCCAAUCACAAAUUGGAUGAUGAUAACUGUUGAUGAUGUUUUUUCCUUUUAACUUUUCUUGGAUAAGUAUGUGAAAGAUGUUAUUAUGCCUUGGUUAUUAAAAUGAGAGUUUACUGACUGAAAGUUGAAGGGUUUGAAAUUAAAUAUGGCCUUUAGCAGGGUGCUUAGGGGAAACCUAUGAAAUCCCAAUAUGGAAUGGAAAUACACUCCUGCUUAAUGUAGAGCUUAAUGUAUUGAUCUUUGCUUUACACUGAUCAAAGCACGCUCUUCACAUUAGUGCUAAUUUUUCAUAUUUUUUGUGGCAUAUUUUACAUGUUCAACUUUCUCAACCAUUACUACUGGUAAAAUUUCAAUAGCCUUACAAUUACUCGCUCCCGGAUAGAAGCUUCAAUUCCUCACAAACAUGGGCCUGCUAUUGCUGGUUAUGAGGCAGUAGCUUGCUUGAUCUUAUCCAUAAACUAUUUCUAAAAGUACCUUAGUGGCUGUAAGCAUGUUUGUUAGAAAACUUACAAUACAAUGAUAUAAUUCAUUUUCCUGAUGUAAAUCUUAUUUAUUGCUUGGCUGUAUCUCAUCUGAAGUGUAUUUUAUGGUACAAAUAUAAUGCACAAUACAAUGAUACACGUACAACAAUACAUAUAAACAACAAAUAUUAAUAUUUGCCUAGUGAGAAUCUGGAACUAAAAUUUAUAGCCAAAAAUUCAAAAAGCUUUGUUUUGUGGAUUUUGUAAGACACCUAUGCAUUAAAGUAAAAAAUUGGGGAAAAUGACUCAUUAUUUUUUGUAAGAAUCUGCUUCUUCCAGGUUUAAUACAUAUUUAUGGGAAUCUUCUUGACAUAAGACAUAUGGAAGCAACUUCAAAAAGUUACAGAAAAAGAAAAGUGAAAGCCUCUACACUUCCUAAUAAAUAUUUUAUCUUCUUAUUUAUUAUAAUUACUAGAUUUAUCGAGAAACCAUCAUUACAAAUGCUUAAGUUUUUCAAAUUAUUUUUAAAUUUGUUUUCAUAAUUUAUUAACUUUAUAAAAUUGGAAGUGAUUAUUAAAUUUAUUUUUGUUUCUUUUUCUCCUCUAAAAAAAUAUAUACUUUUUAUUAUAUAUAUAUAUAUAUAUAUAUAUUUUAAAAAUUUAUUAGGAUGAAGGAGAUUUGAGUGUGUCAUUUUUCAAUCAUCAUUUUUAUAAAGAUAAUACUAUUGCGCAUCUAACAAUCUCUUCCCCAUUAUAGGGCUCCUAGAACUCGAAUCAUGACCAAACUCUAGGGCUCCUAGAACUCGGAUCAUUUAAUGACAUGUGGAACAUUUAAUAGCACUUAUACAAAUGCUAACAACUUUAUAAAACUGUAAAAAGACAUGUAGAACCUAGGCUGGAUCUCCAAACCAUGAAAAUUGCUUGUAAUUAUUGGUUAGCUUUUGAAUUGUAUCAUAUAUUAGAAAAUGUAUCAAAUUCUCAAUUAUUAUAAAUUCCUUUUGGUAAAGAAUAUUGUAUAAAGUAUUUUCUAAGUUAAUUUAUUAUUGUGAUAUCAUAUUUCCUCAUAGAAUAAGGAAAGUUAUUUAGAAUAUUUUUAUAAAUAUUUUAGGCCAUAGAGGGAAAAAUCUAUAAGAUCGAGAUAGACUCCUAAAGAUUAUAAAAUAUUUGAAGAACUCAAUAGUUAUAAAUAAUAAAAAAACACUAAAACCAAAUUUAAUAUAUAGAAAAUAUUAGUUUUUACUUCAAAUUUAACUUAUUAAAUUAUAAAUUGUAGAAAUUUAAUUAAAUUAAUUUUUUUUUAAAAUUAACUAGACAUAAGCAAAAGUGUAUUAACUAUUCCGCUUUCUCUUUUUCAAUUAUUUAAAUGGAAAAUAUUAAAACAUUUAUAGUCGUAACUAUUAAUUAUGUUGAAUAUGUACACAUUACAUCCAUUCUUGAACAAAUUUAAAAAAAUUUCCUACUUAAUUUGGGUAGCUUAAACAAAGACAUUUUAAUUGUUAAUGGAAAAAUAAAAACCUUUUAUUCAAUUUUAAUGGUAAUAAAUAAUAAGAAAAUAUUAUUAAUAAAAAACAUUGAAUUAUUUGGAUAUUAAGGUGUUAUUUGUUAUUUGAUAUUGUUAAUAACAUACCCUAUUAUUGUUAUUUGUUAUUUCAUUACAAAUUGAUGUUAUUAGUAAUGUUUUAUAUUGUGUAAUUUUGUGGUUAAAAAUGAAAUUGAUUUGAUUUUUUUGGCUUCUUCUAUAGGUAAACUAUGUCUAAUUUAUCGGUGGCAAUAGUUUGUUUUUGUAAUGGGAAAAUGGUGAGAACACAGACCGAUGUUGAUUAUGUUGGGGAUAGAGUUGUGGUUGAACCUAUUGAUGUGCCUCUUGGGACAACAUAUGAACAACUGUUGGAAAUGAUAUACUCGGUCACUGACAUCAAUAAAGAACAUUUUCGAUUAAUACUUAGUUGUAAGUAUCCUAUGAAAAAAGGGAACAAAUUCCAACCUUGCCCAGUAAAGAAUGAUAGUGGUGUAGCUCGAAUGUUAGAAAUGCAUAACAGAUUUGGGAUGGAUGAAGUUGAGUUAUUUGUUGAACAAGUACCUAUUGACUUACAAAUGAAUUCACCACUUGGUAAUUGCAUGCCUUUGUUACUUGGUGAAAAUGAUGGUACUAGUAAGUUCAAAAUCCAUUUACUUUUGAGCAUAGAUCAGAAGAGGAUGAGGAAGACGAAGAAGGAACACAAUGUGAUGAUGACAGUGUAAGAGCUGAGGAUGUUCAUAAUGAUGAUAAUCAAGAUAGGGAAGGUAGCUCGCCUUUUUUAUCUGUUCGUGAGGCAAUUGAAAGAGAACAAAUGAGAUAUGUGGCUGUGGAUGGGGAAGGAUGUAACUUGUCAAACAAUCCAGAUACAGAGGAUUUAGAUGACCCAAUUGAAUUAUCUCCAAUGCAAUAUCAUUUGGCACCAUCACCACAGUUUGAAAAUGUUGAAAACAUUGGUCAUGUUGUGUCAAGUGAAUGGACCCCAUGGGGAAACACUCUUAUGGGACAUCCAACUGGAGAGUUCAUAGUUGGACAAAUCUUUAAUUCCAAAGGAGAUUUGCAACAUGCUGUAAAGAUGUACUCUAUUAAUUCGCACCAAGAGUAUAUCGUUUUGUCAUCCACAAAGAAAUUGUUGGUCCUAAGAUGCAAGAAAGCUGAACAGUCUCAAUGUCCUUGGAGACUACGUGCUACAGUUGUUAAAGGGACAUCUUUAUUUGAGAUCAACAAAUAUAGUGGCCCACACACAUGUGUCAAUCCUUGCAUGAACCAAGAUCAUCAUCAGUUAGACUCAAACCUGAUAGCCGCCCAUAUAGAGGGAAUGAUUAAGACACAAUUCACACUUUCAGUGGCUGCCAUUCAAGCAAGUGUUGUAGAAAGAUUCGGGUACCAUAUCUCAUACACUAAGGCUUCGAAAGGCAAGCGUAAAGCAUUAACUAAUUUGUUUGGUGAUUUCUAUAAAUCAUACGCUAAACUGCCACAUUUUUUUGGUGCCUUAGAGCAAGCCAAUCCAGGAUGUGUUGUAAUUUCUAAAACAUUCCCAGGAAAUAUGCGAAAUGAAGAGGUAUUUCAGCGAGUCUUUUGGGCAUUUCAUCCUUCCAUAGAGGGCUUCAAGCAUUGUCGUCCUGUGUUAACUAUUGAUGGUACACACUUGUAUGGGAAGUAUAAGGGCACUGUAAUGAUUGCCAUGGGCUGUGAUGGAAAUAAUCAAUUGUUUCCUUUUGCUUUUGCAUUAACUGAGGGUGAAAAUGUUGAUAGUUGGGGAUGGUUUUUGGCAUGUAUUAGAAAUCGAGUAACUCAAAGGAGGGGUCUUUGUGUUAUCUUUGAUCGUCAUCCGAGCAUUAUGGUUGUGUUUGCUGAUGUUUACCUUGGUUGGUCUGAGCCAAAUGCAUAUCAUCGAAUUUGUAUGCGCCAUCUUGCUAGCAACUUUAUGACUCACUUUAAGGACAAAUGCUUGAAACAACUUUUAUGCAGAGCCGCCUUAGAAACUAAGGUAGAAAAAUUCAACAUGCAUAUGGAGACAUUGGGAGAAUCGAUCAAAACGCACUCAGUUGGUUGGAGGGUAUUCACUUUGAGAAAUGGGCACUAUCACAUGAUGGAGGUCGACGAUAUGGCAUAAUGACUACAAACAUGUCAGAAGUGUUCAAUAGUGUGCUUAAAGGGGCACGGAGUUUCCCUAUCACCGCAUUUGUUCAAUUGACAUUCUAUCGACUUAAUAGUUACUUUGUUGUAAGAAGAGAACAUGAUGCUAGUCGACUUGCUUCAAGUGAACAAUACACUCCUUAUGUUGAUGCUAAGAUUAAUGCAAAUGUUGUUAAGGCAGGUUCUCAUGAGGUUGUUUUGUAUGAUCACUUCCAAGGACUGUUUCAUGUGAAGGCUAGUAGGGGUAGCAAAAAGACAUCAUCUGGUGGAAGAACACAUCGUGUUAACCUACGUGAGCAUGUAUGCACAUGUGGCAAAACACUCAUAUAUGGAUUCCCAUGUAGUCAUAUUCUAGCGGCAUGUCAUUUUCGUUCAAUUGAUUUUAGAUCAUUUGUUCAACAUUAUUACACUAUACAAUCGUACUUUAGCACUUGGGCACCACUGUUUAACCCCAUACACAAUGAGUACGAGUGGCCACCAUAUGUUGGUCCAGUUAUUGUGCCUGCAGAUUCAAUGAAACGUGUGUCAGGUGGACGACUUAAAUCUACUCGUUUGCACAAUGAAAUGGAUGUUAGAGAAGGUAAAACCUCAGUUACAUGUGGUUUGUGCAAACAAAGUGGUCACAAUCGUCGUUCUUGUCCAAAUAAGAACAUGGGUGCUGGGCCUUCAUGAUGGGUGCUAGGCUUUGGAUGUUGAUAUUAUGUUAUUUGUAUUUUGGACAAUACUUAUGUUAUAAGAGAGACUUUGCUGUUAAUUUCAAAAUUGUAAUAUGAAUAUUUUGAUGAAUCAGGUUGUUUGUAUUUUGGAGAAUACCCUAUUUAUAAGGGAGACUCUAUCGAAAUUUUUAAUAUUUGGAUGCGAACAUCAUAUUAUUACAUUUUUCUUUUCAUUAUUGUCCUUGGAUAUUGAUAUUGGUUGUAGAUGAAUAUUUUGAUUAAUCAGGUUUUUUUUUUGUAUUUUGGAGAAUACCCUAUUUAUAGGGGAUACUCUGCCGAAAUUUUUAAUAUUUGGAUGUGAACUUUAGUGUUUGAUAAUUUUUUUUAAAUUAUUGUACUUGGAUAUUGAUAUUGGUUGCAAAUAAAUAUUUUGAUUAAUCAGGUUAUUUGUAUUUUGGAGAAUACCCUAUUUAUAGGGGAUAUUCUGCCGAAAUUUUUAAUAUUUGGAUGUGAACUUUAGUGUUUGAUAAUUUUUUUUAAAUUAUUGUACUUGGAUAUUGAUAUUGGUUGCAAAUAAAUAUUUUGAUUAAUCAGGUUAUUUGUAUUUUGGAGAAUACCCUAUUUAUAGGAGAUACUCUGCCGAAAUUUUUAAUAUUUGGAUGUGAACUUUAGUGUUUGAUAAUUUUUUUAAAAUUAUUGUCCUUGGAUAUUGAUAUUGGUUGCAAAUAAAUAUUUUGAUUAAUUAGGUUAUUUGUAUUUUGGAGAAUGCCCUAUUUAUAGGGGAUACUCUGCCGAAAUUUUUAAAAUUUGGAUGUGAACAUUAGUGUUUGACAAUUUUUUUUUAAAUUAUUGUACUUGUUGGAUAUUGAUAUUGGUUGCAAAUAAAUAUUUUAAAUUAUAAUAGUAACAUUAUUUUAUUAUGACAGUAUAGUAAUGGAGCAUAGAGAGGGCAGAUUCGAUCCAGAUCCAUUAGAUUGCUCUAUUUUAGCGCUACAGGACAGACAUAGGUCUCAAUUAGUGGAUUCUGGUCAGGUAUAUAUGUAUAUAUAAAUAUAGAUGUAUAGAAAAACAUAAUCAUAAACCUUAAUUAAGUUCUUAUUUAAUCGAAAUGGUAUCUUUUGUAGCUUAAUCAGGUAUUGACAUGUCGACAACGUUUAUGGACAUUCAUGCGAGAGUGGGAGAUGGACCCUCGUAUUCGGCGAUAUGUGAUGCAGUCUGGAUUUUAUGGUGUAUAUCGUGUCGGACACAUUUCACUAGAUUGGCCAUUGAUCACGAGUCUUGUUGAGCGAUGGCGGCCCGAGACACACACAUUUCAUUUACCUAUUGGAGAGAUGACUGUUACUUUACAGGAUGUAGCCAUGAUUCUUGGAUUACGUAUUCAUGGGCCUCAUAUCACUGACACAUGUGACAUAGAUUGGUCACUACUAUGUUUUGAGCUUUUAGGUGUCGUCCCACCUCCAUCUCAGAUUAGAGGGUGAUCUAUAUCAGCACGAUGGUUGCGUGAGCAGUUCUCAUAUCCACCAGCAGGGGUCGAUGAUGUUAUUUUACAGCGUUAUGCGCGUGCUUUCAUAUUAGCACUAUUGGGUGGAGCAUGGUUCGCAGACAAGACUGGCACACAUGUACAGUUAUGUUACCUUCCACUGUUGAGAGACUUCACUGAGAUUUCUCACUAUAGUUGGGGCAGUGCAGUGUUGGCAUACCUAUAUGGAGAGCUAUGUCGUGCGAGUUUAGAUAGUGCCACAGAGAUUUCUGGACCUAUCACACUAUUACAGGUAUUUCGACAUAACUAUCUAUUAUAAUUAAUUGACUCACAUUAUUGUUGUAAGUUGUCUAAUUUUGAUAAUGUUAUCUGAUUUUGUAGUUGUGGUCAUGGGAGAGACUUCAUGUGGGUCGACCUGAUUUCGAUCGUCCUCCAAUGCCUAUAGUAGUCCCACAUGUACAUGAUGAUGUAGUUGAUGGUUUACAUGAUCAUCUAUUGCCAGAUGAGCCACUCCCAAUCCAUCCAUUGGGCCAUAGGUGGAGAGUACCCCUGUCUUGGUCUCAUAACCCAUCACCACAUGUGUUGACAUUCUAUCGAGAUCAAUAGGAUGCCCAGACACAGGAUCAGGUAAAAUGUAGAUGCGUAAGAUUACCUUUGCAAUAUUUUCCACCAAUGUGACUAAUUAUUUUUUAAAAAAAUUACAGGUAUUAUGGGAACCAUAUACAGCAGAUUUGAUUGCACAUCUUCCGGCUAUAUGUCAGGUUGACGAAGAAAUUUGGCGAACUAUGUCACCUCUAAUUUGCUUUGAUAUUAUCGAGUGGCAUAGACCAGAGUGAGUUUUACGCCAAUUUCAUAUGCAACAAGGGAUACCUCCACCUUGUUUGAUAGAUAUGGAGCUACAUUUAGUGGAUAGGCGAGGACGACAUCAAUACGAUUGGGUCACAUUCCAUGCUCAAUAUAUUUCUCUUUGGGCUACUCAUUCUAAGCGUAUUGCGACAGCACCACUUGUGAUUACUACCAUGUCUUUUUAUGAUCCAUAUAUGCAGUGGUAUCGACGUAUCACGCGAUGCCUGAUCGCACCUGUUUUGCAUAGAGAUCAUAUGAGGUUCCAUAGUACAGCUUCUGCCACUGAGUUAUUGGUGAGAGCAUUUGAGAUACAAAACCAUUUUUUAAUGAAUGUUAAACUUAAAUUAUGUGCAAAUGCCUCAUGUUUUAUUUUCUUAUACAGAUCACCGCCGUAUCGCAGAUGGCUAUUUCAAAUGAUUUGGAGGAAACUCACCGAAUUGCUAUUGAUGUUUUACGUGCUAUAGGAGAGGACCAUCGCGUACACUCGACACAUGAGCCAUCCACAUCUUCAGGAUCAUCCAUGAGACCACCAUCAUUGAUUACGCCUGUUAGGGUACCACCCAUUAGAGGUCGGGGGAGAGGUGGUCGUCGAGCUGGUCACCGACAUGUACCUUUGGCAUCUACUUUGGUACAACCCUCACAUCCACCAGUCACAUCUACCUUUCCUUUAUUUCAGCCAUCUACAUCAUUAGAGUUGCCACUUUCUCCCCCUGAUGUAUCCAUACCAGCCUAUUCACCUCGACCCGAGACUACCAUACCAUCUACCCUUACCCCUGUUCAGCCAUCUAUAUCAUUGGAUGCACCCCCACCUAUUGCAGAGUCUUUUGCACCCCCACCUAUUAUAGAGUCUAUUGCACCUCCACCUGUUACAGAGUCCGUUGCACCUCUACCUUUUCUUCAAGGGACAGCUCAUGCUGCACGAUUACAUGUACGGGUACCUAGAGGACAUCGAGCUCCACGUGUACGUCGAGUUCUACCUCCAUCAGUUCCAUCUAUCUCGACAACUCAUGUAGAUGACGUGUCAUAGUCUAUAGAGAUGGAGACUUUUCAGAUAGCAUAGAUGGAUACAACAAAUAUGGCCAUCUACCGUAGAUGUUCACAACGAAAGAGAAAGAUUCCAUCAUGUGGGACACAUUGAGAUCUUUUUUCAUGUUUGUAGAACUAUUAUACUUUGGUUUAUACAUUUAAGGUUAUAUAAAGUGUUAAUUCAAAUUAGUGAUGUUAUGUUAUUCACAUGUUUCCUUGAUAAUUUAAACAAAUAAAACUCAAAUGCAUCCUAAAGUCUAAAUGAAAGAAAUUCUAACUAAAUAAAUUAUUACAACCAUUACCUAUUUUUCUUUCAUAUAAUUAAAAAAUUAUACAUUUUAACCAAGACUUAAGUUCAAAUCAUACUUAAUAAUAAAUAACCUAAAAUCAUAAUCAUUGGCAUUAAUUUUCAUAUGAAAAUAUAAAAUUUUAAAAUAAUAUAAACAAUUUCUUUAGUUAUUUUAAAAUUUUAAAAUAAUAUGAAUAAAUAAUUUUCUUUAGUUCAUAUGUGAAAAUAUUUGUAAAACAAAUAAAUAUUUUAUUUACUAUAAAUAUAUAAAUUUUUAUGGGAGUGCAAGUAGACCAAAUUAUUUUCUCAAAUUUCCAAGGAAAAUAUGAAAAAAUAAAGAUAAUAUAUAUAUAUAUAUAUAUUUAAAACAGUCGUAACAAAAAAAUUUAUGAAAAGCAAAGUUCUAAAAUCCCAUACUUUUUUAUACAUGAGUUCCCCUUAAAAAUAUUUGUGAAAAUUACAACAUAAUUGUAAUUUUGAUAAAAAAAAAUAUUUUAAAAAUAAUAUUAAAAUUACAACACCAUUAAAAUAUUGAAAAUAAUUGUAAAACCACAAUUACUAACUGUGGUUUUAUGGUUGUUUUGAUAAAAAAUAUUUUUAAAAUAAUAUUAAAAUUACAAUACUAUUAAAACAAGUGUGAAUUAAAAAUAAUUGUAAAACCAUAUUUGCUAACUAUGGUUUUAAGGGAAAUUGUAAAACCACAGUUUGUAACUGUGGUUUUAAGGAUACUUCUUUUAAAACCAUAGUUAUAGUAACUAUGGUUUUAUGGGUAUUUUGAUAAAAAAAAUAUUUUAAAAAUAAUGUUAAAAUUACAACACCAUUAAAAUAGAUGUGGAUUGAAAAUAAUUGUAAAACCACAGUUAGUAACUGGGGUUUUAUGGUUGUUUUAAUAAAAAAUAUGUUUAAAAUAAUAUUAAAAUUACAAUACUAUUAAAACAGGUGUGGAUUAAAAAUAAUUAUAAAACCACAGUUACUAACUGUAGUUUUAAGAGAAAUUGUAAAACCACAGUUACAAACUGUGGUUUUAAGGAUACUUCUUUUAAAACCAUAGUUAUAGUAACUAUGGUUUUAUGGGAAUUUUGAUAAAAAAUAUAUUUUAAAAAUAAUAUUAAAAUUACAACACCAUUAAAAUAGAUGCGGAUUGAAAAUAAUUGUAAAACCACAGUUACUAACUGUGGUUUUAUGGUUAUUUUGAUAAAAAUUAUUUUAAAAAUAAUAUUAAAAUUACAACACCAUUAGUAAAACCACAAUUAGUAACUGUGGUUUUAUUGUUGUUUUGAUAAAAAAAUAUUUUAAAAAUAAUAUUAAAAUUAUAACACCGUUAAAAUGGGGAUGGAAUAAAAAUAAUUGUAAAACCACAGUUAUUAACUGUGGUUUUAAGGGAAAUUGUAAAACCACAGUUUAUAACUGUGGUUUUAAGGAAACUUCUUUUAAAACCGUAGUUAGUAACUAUGGUUCUAGGAGAAAUUAUAAAACCACAGUUUGUAACUGUGGUUUUAAGAAAAUUUAUGUAAGUUUUAAAACCACAGUCACCAACGGUGAUUUUUUACACUUAAAAUCCAUAUGGAUGCUUACUUGGACAAAGAAAACUACUUUGACAAAUAUUUUCAAAUGGAUACUAUUCUUAUUAUUUUUUUUUACAAAUAUAUUAUUUUGUUCUUAAACUCCAUUAAUCCUGUUGUCAGAAUCCCAUCCCGUGUUAGACUGCAAAAGUCUAAUAAUAAAGGUCUUGAUAAGGAGAAAUCACAAGAGCAUUUAUUACAUCAAUAAUUAUUAGCAAUCAUCUGGAGCCCACGAUCAAGAAGAGGAUCCAGCUGGAAACCUAUUCAAAAAUGUCAUCAAUCCCAGUAUUUAUUUCUUACUUUAUUUUUUUAUUCCAUUCAUUUGCUUAUCACUUUUUUUGUUUUUCCCUUUUUAUCUCGUUACAUCUUUAUCCCGAUAUUUAUACUUUCAUUAAAUAACUUAAAUUUUUUUUAUAUAUUUUAAUGAUGAAAUUUAAAAUCUUUACUUUCAUAUAUUUUUCCUUUUAUACUUUUUGUUACCCAUUAUUAUUAUUAAAUAUUAAUAUUACUAUUAAUAUAAUUAUUUAUAAUAUUAAUAUUUUAAAUUAUUCAUAUUAUUAUUAAUAUCAUUCUUAUUAAUAUUAUCUAUUAUUUUUAUGAUCAUUAUUCACCUUAUUAGUCAUAUUUUUAAUAUUAUAAUAAUAAUAAUUUUAUUAUAUUUAUAUUAUUAUUAUUAAAAAAACCCUAAAAGAUAUUUUCUAAUUUUUUUUAAUUCUUAUGGUUCAUAAGCUUUAUUAAAAAAAUUAUUCUGUGCUUUUUAACCUUUUAACUUCAUAUGCUACAUUAAAAUUAAUUAUAUUAUUAUUAUUACUUUACAAAUAUUAUUUUUAUGAUGUUAAUUUUAUAUUUUAUUAUUAAUAUUAUUAAUAAAACUAAUAUUAUAUCCAAGUUAUAGGUGUGAAAAUAUGGUGGCAUUAUUAGCUGGCUUUUCAGUCAUUCCGAUGAAGAAAGUAAUAAAAUAGAGAGAGAUGAGAAAUGUUGAACUGUCGGUUGCAUUAUUGGCCAGCUGGCUUUGAAUCAUUCUGACGAAGAAAGUGAUAAGAGUGAUAUGAAUAUGACCUUUUUCAUUCGGAUGAAGAAAGUAACAAAAUAGAGAGAGAUGAGAAAAGUUGAACUGUUGGUUGCAUUAUUGGCGUGCUGGCUUUGAAUCGUUCUGACGAAGAAAGCGAUAAGAGAUAGAAAGACGAGUGAUAGGGAAAUGACGAGUUUUAGAUGGGGAAGCCUUUUUCAAAAUCAUUAUCACACUAGAUUAGUAUCCUUCCCCAUAUUUUAAAUUCUAGGGCAGUGCGGCCGGUUCUUGGAAAAACGGUUCAAUUACCCCUCCUCUAAACAGGUCCUCCUUCCAUUUAAUGGAUUUUUGGCGGAAGCCCAACCCAUAUUGCCACCACCUAUUUGUUGGUUUUUAGGCAAAAAGCCUGUCCAAACAAGCCCGCCUUACAUUGCCACAUGCUGGGCUCAACCUUAAACCCACAAGGCUUGGACAUGUCAACACCUUGGCUGAGUUCUCCAUAUCCUUCUUACCAUCUGUUGUGGGAUUGAUGGACCUCAAGUUGAGGAGAUGACAUGGGCACCACUCUGAUGCUUAUUAUAUCAAACAAAAGAAAAUAUAUUAUUUUCUAAAAUAAUUUAUAAUAACAAUAUAAUAUUUUUAAAAAUAUAAAAUUAUCCCUAUGCCAACUUGACAGUCAAACUAAAGCAUUUACACACUUUACUAAAAACAUAAAAGGGUUUUUCUUGUUUGUUUAGUAAUGUCAAGCUUUGGCAUUGUUAUUGAAUGAAGAAUUUUCAUCUCUAUUAUUGAUUUUUUUAUUUAAAACUAAAGCAUUUCAAAUUUAUUAUUAAAAAAAGGUUUCAAAUUUAUUUAAAAUAAAAAUUAAAAAUUUUAUCUUUAUUUUAUUUAAAAGAAAUUUUCAAUUUUAUUUUAAGAGAAAAGACUUCUUAGUUUUAUUAAAAAAAUUUAAAAUUUUAUUAUUAUUUAAGAAAAAUAUUUUUUUUUCUUUCUUUUUUUUUUUUUGUCUUAAAAGAUGAUUUUGUUAAAAAAAAAAAAAGGAAAAUUUUUUUUUAUUUAAUUUAAUUCAAAAGUUAUACAAUGUUAUUUUAAAGAAAGAUUUGACAAUUUUAUUGAAAAGGAUUUUGUAGUUUUAUUUAGAAAAAACAUUUUUGAUAGUCUUUUCUUAAAAAGACAUUUUCCUACACAGUUUAUUAUUAAACAAAAUUUUUUUGGACAGUUUACAUUUAAAAGACAUUUUUGGAUAGUUUAUUUAAAGACUAUUUUGGAAAAUUUUAUUUAAAAAUCAUUUUUGAUAUUUUUUAAAUUUAAAGUCAUUUUGACAGUUUUGAUUAAAAAAAAAUAUUUUGACAACUUUAUUUUAAAAAAAAAUAUUUACACAAUUUUUAUUCAAAAAACACUUUAGGUAGUUUUUUUUUUAAAAAAAAAUUAUUUUUAAAAAUGACCUGACAGUUUUUAUUUUAUCCUAAAAAAAGUUUCAAUGUUAUUUUAUUUAUAAAUAAAUAUACAAAACAGAAUACGGGAAAAAACCCAAAUAGGUAAUGCUAUUGCUAUAUAUAUCUACCCCUUCACUCGUCUUUGCAUCACUCACCCCACACACAUUCUCUUUCUCCUUUCACAUUUUCAGUUAAGUGAGUCUCAUACUCAACUUCUUACAUUCCUUUCUAGGUUAUUCUCUUGAUCAAAUAAUGUAGUAUUGUGUUGUUUUGCUUUAAAGGCAUGUCAUCAUCCGAUAAGUGAGAAGCAAUUGAAGGAGAUGGGAGAAACCUGAUCUCAGCCGGUUCCAUCCCAAAUGCCGCAGCAAUCUAGGCAGCAAUUGUUAGGAAUGGGGUCAUUUCUUAUGGUAUCAAGAUGGAAAUAUUCAUAGAUCUUCCUAUUGUUGGAAAGAUGAGUAUACCCAUUGAGGCAACUGGAAUGGUACCCGUACGCUUACCUUUUAUGAAUAUGAAUGCUGAUAUUGGUGUUGAUGGUAAAGAGGAGGAGAUAUACAAUUAGCAUGUACUAAAAAAAUUGGUGGGUUUAAACAUGUCUUUUUUUUUUUCCCCCCAAUUGACUGAGCCUCAAAAUUCCCACUUAUAUUUACAAAUCCCCAUUUAAUAAUUUGUAUGUGAUUCAUCACCACUUUGAUCACUACCUUUACAUUGUUAUAGAACCUCCAUCUCAUGCAUGUAUGCAUGCACAGAGUACGUACAUCUUUCUAGUAAUAGAUGGAUAAAAACUAUUUUUAUGCAUGCUUCCUCGUAUUACUAACCUUGGUUGCAAAUUGCAAUAUGUGAUUGCUUUUAUUUUUUUCUUCUAUCUCAUGCAUUCACUUGUGCACACAAUUCAUUGUUGCCAAUUUCAAUUCUUGCAGAAUUAGAGAAGGACCAUAGAAGAUGUCAGCAAAAGUGGUUUGCAUGAUGAGUUUCUACUUUCUAUUCUUCUUUUAUUGUCUAAGGUCAUCCUAAUAAUGGAUUAUUAAUAUUAUGUAAUUGGUUUGUAUGAUAAGUGCUUUCUCUUCUUCUUUUAUUGUGUCUAAGGUCAUCCUAGCUAAAAAUGAAUCAACAUUAGAAUAGUGUACGUGCUAGCAUUGACAUAGCAAGCCAUAACACAACUGCUUGCUCUCUAUUGUCAUAGGGGUUGCACAUAAGAGGAGAAUGAGCAAGAGUUAUACAACCGGCUCCCUUUCUAUAAAUUUAUUAUUAUGAAAAUUACAAGAUAAUUAACACUAAUAAAAAAUUUUAAAACUUAGAAAAAAUUGUCGAGAUUUAUUCGAUGACUAUUAUUAUUGAAUGUUUAAAUUAAAAAUAAAUUAGAAAUACGCACUAUUAUCUUGGAAAUAGUGAGUAGCAUGGUUGUGAUACAAUUCAUUUACAUUGUUGUAAACAUAAUUUAGCAUAGUUGUAAACACCAAGAAUAGAAUUAUUAUAAAUAUUUAAAAAUAUAAGGACAAAUAUAAUAAAUGAUAUAAAUGUAAAUAUGAUAAAUGAUGUUAUUAUAAAUGUUUCUAAAAAUAAGGUUAAACAAUGUGUCACAACAAAAAUCAUUUGAGUCUCUAUUAUAAAUCAUAGAUUAAAAAUAAAUCAGUAAUGUAUUAUAAUACUGAUUGCAUAGUUGUAAUACAAUGAAUUGACAUUUUUGUAAAUAUAAUAGGUAGCACAAUUAUAAAUGUGAUGAAUAGUAUCAUUGUAAAUAUUUCAAUAAAUAAAUAUAAAUAUAAUAAUGACAUUUUAUUAAAUAUGAUGCAUGUGUAGACAUAAAACAAGAAAAAGAAAAAGUGUAUUAAAUUACCACUAAAUUGAUCAUUAAACUUGUGACUUUUUAGUUCAAUAAAAAUUUGAUUUGACAAGGGAUGAAUCACAUAUGUUAAACAUGUGACAUGCCAUUCAAAAGGUUACAUAUGACAAAAUUUGGAAGGUUAUAAAAUCAAAUCUUACAAAAUAAAAUCAAAUAAAAUGAUUAAAGUCGAAUUAGAAAAAAAUAUUGUCCUGUUUAUAAAUUGUAUUCAAAAUGAAGGAAAUAAAUUUUUUAAUUGAAGUCAAAAGGAAAUUAAGAAGAAAUAUUUUCAUGUCCACAAAUUUCUUAAGUGAAUGAGAUAAUUUGUUUAAAUCAAGGAGUCAAAUUCUUUGAAUUAAAGAAUUAAAUCUUAAGGAUUUCAAAUUCUAAUAUUUAAUUUCAUUCAUAGAUAAAGGUGACUUUCUAAGAUGAAGGUGGAUGGAAGAAAAAGCUUUACCAUAGAAAUGGCUUGAUAGGAGGGUUUGACAAAGAUUAAUGCCCUCAUGCUCUCCACCAUGAUGAACAAGCUAUGCUAAAUCCCUCAAUUGAACUUCUAAAAAAAAAAAAAAAAAUCUUAUUAUCAUUCAAGUGGUUAACUCAAACAAAGUUUCACAAUAAAAGCUAUUUUCGGCUUUUAUUAUAGGUCACUGACCCAAAGAUCAAUAUUGUGAAUCUAUGGUGAGAUUUUCUCCUCUUAUAGAACUCCUAAAAUAGACCUCAUGGCUUGGAAUACCCACUAAACUAUUUUAAAUAAUAAAUAUAGUAAAAGGCUUGGUUGAAGAUCAUAUGAAAAAGAAGACUUCAUUCCACAAAAACUUGUCCAUAUAUUUGGCCUCAGACAAGUCAAGUGGGAAUUAUUUGUUUAAGAACAAUGUACAAUGAAUGAUGUGUUGAACAAUUAGCAAAUUUACUUGAAAUUAAAACAAUAACUUGGUGUUGGAGAUAUUAAACUAAUUUAAAUUUUAAGUCAAACAUAAUAAAAGACUUUAUCCAAGAUCUUGUAUUGUAUGGAAUAAAAAUUGACUUCUUGUUUUAUGUGUUUUUACGAUUUUAUUGUUCAAGUCAUGAAGGCAUAUCAAACCAUCAAUCCUCUAGAUCUUCAUAAGUUGAUCAUAAAAAUACAAAUCCUUAUGCUACUCAAAACUUGUGUAUACAUCCCAUGAAACUUGUAUAUAUUCGUGAUAUUACUAACGAUUUGAAAAUUAAACUAGAUUGAUCAGUUUCAUCGGUUUAAUAACAUAAUGAUCAUUACAAAAGUUAUAAAAUUAUCAUUUAUAUAAUUUGGACAUAUGGAUAAAAUUAAAUAAUAGAAAUUUUCCUCUAUUUUGUACAAGUUCAUAGUUAAACAUUAUGCAUAUUUUGUUUAAUAAAAUUUAAAAUAUUAAUAUAUUAUAUUUAUCUUAUGAUUUAAUUUGAUACUAUUAAAGAUAAAAAAAAAUUAAUUAUAUAUAUUUGGACAGUUAUAAUUAUUUUUUAUUUUAGUAAUAUAUAAAUUAUCUAUUUAGAACAUCAUGAUCGUUCAAUAGUGGUUCAACUAUUGAUUUGAUUAUUGAACCAUGAAUCGAUAAUUUUUUUAAUUCAAUGACCGAUUCAGUUAUAAAAAUAUUAGACAUUAUUAUUUACUAACUAUAAAACUAGUCUAAACAAAGCCUAAAUGUGAAAGUUGGCUAAAGGGAAGGGUCACCUUCAUUCCAAUGUUAUAAAAGAGAGCGGGGUUUUCAUUUCCAUGAACUGCUCAGCUAUGUACGACAAAAAAAUUUUCAUUUGAUGUUGGCUAGAUCUUGAAAUUAAUUUUUAAUAUGUACCAUAUAGAAAACAAAUUCUCAUUUUUCCUUCACUCUUAAUGCUUGGAAGUAUUGAGUUAUUUUGAAAAAAAUAAUAAAAAUAAUAAAGAGAAGCAUACCAAUGUAACUCCUAAAUAGUGCCAGAGCAAGAAAAUCUCACAUUUUGGUAAGUUUAUUGAAAGUAUAGUGACAGGUCUAAUACAAGGCAUUUCAGAACAACUUAAUGCUUACUAGUAUCAGUCUUGUCCUAUCUAAGAAAUUAGUUGUUAUUCUCAAAUACUCUAAUUCCUUCAAAUAGGGAGGGUUGUGUUUGGGUGAUUGCUCUUGAAUCCAUCUUCUAGUGAUUGUGCUUUCAUGUCGAGGGACUUUACGUAUUAUAAUAAAACCUUGACAAAUAAACCUUUUAUAAAUUCAUAAUUUCAAUUAAAAAAUAAAAUCUUUUGGUCUCAGGCCAAUUUACAAAAUUAAUAACCUUGUUGAAUGUACAAGAUAAUGUUUUUUUAUAUUAAAAAAAAUCCUUGAAAACCCAAGAAAAUAUAAAUUAAUAAUUGAAGUCCACAAAAAAUAGUAAAUAAAAAUUUAUUAUACUAUAUUUAGUAAUGUUUUUAAAACUUAUAUUUUUCUCAAUUCAAUAUUUUCUCAAAACCAUAACAUAUUUAAAACCAUUUUAUCUUCUAUAAUAUUAACUUUUGAUAUAAUAUUUCUUCCUUUUACAACUUUUUUUAACUUUUAUAAUUAAUAACCAUAUCUUUUUUUAGAGUCUUAAGUUUCUAUGUAUUAAUUUUUGAAUACAUUCAUAAUUUUUUGUUGUGAAUUUAUAAAUCAUACAUGUAUAAUUACUUACAAAAGAAACAUAACAUUUUUUUUUAAUAAAUUACUAAUUAUUCAUUUAUUGAUAAAUCAAUAACCUCAUUAAGAUAAUAAUUUUUUUGAUGUAAUGCUUUUACUUUUCUAAAUUUUCAACAAAGCCAUGACCAAGAAAACUAAAAAUGGCUAAGAUAAUAUGUUAGUUUACAACUGAUUCAUCCAAGUUAAGUCUAUUAGAGACUAGAAUAAUAUGAAUUGAUUAAAUAAAUGGAAAGACCUGUACACCAAUAAAAGAAUUAUAACUAAAUUCUCAAGUAUCAUUGAUCAAAUCACAAUAUAUUUGGCCUAUGAAAUGAUGGUUUGAUGUGCCUCUACAUUUGGAUCAUAAACAAGUGUUCACAAUAUGAGAUAUAACUAUUCAAGCAUUUGGAAAAAUAACUAGAAUGUUGGGUACUAGGAAUUGGUUACAAAAUAUUUAUGAAGUUAAUAGAUAUGAAAUAUCCUCAACAACACAUUCAUUGCUUAAUAUCAAUACAUAUAGGCAAGAAUAAUACUAAUAAAGUUUCCUAAAUUCACUAACAAUUUAAAUCAUGGAGAGUUGAAUUGUAGCAAUCUAGAAAUAUCAAGCUUUAAAGCAAAGCAUACAAAAGAUCUAGCUUAUUUAUUGAAAGAAAUCAAGACACUUAGAGAGAAAAACCUUCCGCUAGUUAAUUUAAAUGAAGGAAAUAUCAUUAACUAGCGUCUUUCUGCCAAGGAUGGUAUCUGUGCAGCUCCUCAAAAGAAGGAAAUCUCACAUACCUGACAAAAAAAAUGAAGACAAUAAGAACAAAAAGCCCUUAUACUAAGAUAAGAUAAUAUAUAUAUAUCAUAUAUGUCAAAGAAAAAUACAAACACCUAUUCAUUUUUCUUCAUAUAGAAAAAUUAAAUCAGUUGUCCUGGUUGUGGUCUGUCAUCAUCUUCAUCCUCCUAUUCAUCCUCUCACUUCUCUCCCACUCCCUCCUCUUUCUAUCCCUCUCCACCAUCCUCAUCUUUCUCAUCACAUCCUCCUCUUCGUUGACCUCAUCAUCAUCGUUGUUGACCACAUCAUCGGUCACUAUCUCCAUAAUCCCAUUCUUUAGAAUCCUGGGCAUUCGAUACACAAAACAUCACAAUGGGUAGGAAUAAGGAAAAGUAUAAUAAUAAAAGUUUUAAAAAGCAAUUAGGAUAGGAGCACAAAUCAUGGAAUGGUAGAUCAAACUACUGCUAUAUUGUAUCCUUGUCUCCUUUAGAAGUGAUAGUGUAUUUAGCCCAGAAUCUUGGGCUAGAGUUGGACAACAUUUGGUAAAGACCCAUAAACAACGUUAAGUCCCAGCAGGUUCUUCUAUCCACAAAUGAGAGUAAGAAUUUCGUAUAAUUGUUUGCCUUUAACCUUUGACCAAAGGAAGGACAUCACUAUCAAUAUGAACAUGUCCAUUGCUUAUCUCCAAAGAUUGAAUGUUUUUGUUAACAAAAUAAAAAAUUAAAAGUUGCGUGAUUAAAUGUUUACAAUAAGUGACAAAGACUGGACAAUCCUUACUUCACUUAUUGCUCCUAAAUGAUGUGUAUUCCAUCAUAAAAUUAAUUUUCGGUACUUUGAAACAAAUCUAAGCAAAAUAAAAUUUCUAUUUUCUUCGUACUUUUGCUUGUGACUAGUUGAAUUGAUAGUUUGUGAAACCCAACACAACUAUCAUUCACCCUAGGUUCUAACAACACUUCAAUUUUCUAAUCCAAUUAAACUCCUUAACUCAAAAACAAAGUAGAAAAGGAAAACACUAUGUACAAUAGAUAAUCAUUUUCUAUCAAUAUCCAAUAUUAUCCUCAAUCAAACAUCAAAUAUUAAAGAAUUUUGAAAUUUUGAGAAUGAUUUACCUUCAAAUGUGUUUGUAUUCUAACUUAUAAUUUCAACCAUAAUAAUAGACUGUCUCAAGGUCUACAUUUAAACUAACUGAAAAUCUAUGUAUGAAUAUUUUGGCAAACACUUUUUGCACAAAAAACCCCUUGACCUCUUCAUGCUUGCCUUUAAAUUUGUUGAAAUUCCUAGGAAUGGUUACUCAUGUUUUAAAGGUUAGGCAUCAAAGAUUGGUAGGUAUAGCUACUAAGCUAAGGGAACAAUUAACAACUAACAAAGCAAACUUAACCCAAAUAGACAAUAAACUAAGCAACAACAAACAAUAAGAGCAUAAAAGGAUCCAUACAAACCCAUGCAGAAUUCUGCUUCCAUCAAAUCAGGUUCCUUGUACUAAAAAAUUAAACAGACUAAACAUAACACAAACAUUAUAUGGGUUUGCUCUGUGUCUUUUUCUCACAGUUAGACAAAUUUCUGAGAGAUGAAAAAGAAAUAAAAUUAGAAUUCACAAAUUUCUAAAGAAUCGCGAAGGUGAAAAAUAGUGUUUAUAAUAUAAUGACAUUAGAAAAUUUCAAGAUAUAUACCUUCUCCAAAGCUGUAUUAUGGAUGAUGGUAUUGAUGUCACACCCCAAAAAAUGCUCUUCCGCAUGAUCGUCAAUUUUUACUUCCUUUACCCUUGGUGUACUUGGGACUGUCUCACAAAAAUAUUCCAUCUGAGGGCAUCCUUUCACCUCAAAUUGUUCCAAGGAUGGGAAUUUGAAGAUACAUCUAGUUGAGCAGAACCAUUUUAGACUUUGUAAGUGAACAAGUCUCAACCUUUGUAAUUUGGAGAAAACAAUAUCAUAUGGUUCUUCACCUCCCUCAUGUCUGACUAUUUCUUCCACCAAUUCGCAUUUUUCUAUAGUAAGCACUUUGAGCUGCACCAAUGUUUUAGCCAUUGAGGAAGUCACCAGAUAUAUUAAAUUUCCACAACCACGUACUUCUAGAGAAUGAAGAUUCUUAAAAAUUUGACCUGUCUCAACUUGAUAUUCCUUAUCAACAAGUUCGAAUACCUCUUUCACUGAAUUACACUUGUUCACAUGAAGUUCCUCUAGAUUAUGCAACUUUGGAAGCACAUUGGAGGGGAUCACAACCAAAAUGUCGUGACACUCUCUUAUCCUCAAAAGUCUCAGCUUGCAAAAUGACUCCCCUGAAAAUUGGCCUUGCCAUAUUUUCAUCUUGGGGCCCAUUAAGAUCAAUUGCUCCAAAUUAAGGAAUGCAUCCUGACAACCAAACAAACAAGAUUAACGAUAUGUCUUCUAUCUCUCUCUCUCUCUCUCUCUCUCUCUCUCCCCCCUCCCCAAACCCCCCUCUCCAACCUCCCUUUUUGUGGCUAAAUAAAUAAGUUAUAUACACAAUUGUAUGUACAAAAAUAUUUUAAAAUAAAGUAAAAAAGAAUACUCUUGUGGCAUACAAUUUUUUUUUUCUUAUUGUUAUGACUUAUAACUAAGGACCAUGUUUGUUUACUUACCAAAUUAAAAAAAAAAAAAAGUUUUCCAUAAUUUCCUUUCUAAUUUAUACUUAAUUACAUGAGUUUAGUUUCUUUUUUAUGUAUUUCAUCCAACGGCCCAUGCCAAAAAUUAAGUUAGGGGGAAAAAAAAUUUAGGAAUUAAUUUCAAGGAAAAAGAAAAGAAAAAAAAAAUUACCUAUGUAGCUUGAUGGCUAAUCAACAUUGCCCUUACAACUAAUGUCACAAUUAAACACAUACACAUAUUAUUUUCCAUACAAGAUAACAAACCACUACAUCUAAAUAAUCCAUUUCAAUUAUUUGCACUAUAUAUUAAUGACCAAAGACUCUCCCAAAUAAUUAGCACUUGACAUAUUUUGAUGCAAUAUAGAAAUUACCAUAUCUUGGUUUGAGAAUAAUUUAAAUAAACCAAUUCUUAUGGUUUUAUAUGAAUUCUUUGAAUUCAAUAUUAAUGUAAGCAUAACAUAAAAAAAGAGGCUUCAAAAUAAUUUAUUUUCAUUAUAGGUUCAAUCAUGUUAAUUUAAAUAAAUCAAUUAUUUAAAUUUAUUAUAAUUUGUUGGUUCUAUUACAUAAAAUUAUAAUUUGACCAUGAAGGUAUAAUUGUUGGAUAAACCAUAAUGCAUGCUAUACCUACAAACUCCUAUGACUUGUAACUGACUAUUUCUUAUUCUUUGGAUUACCAAGUCAUUUUAUCGUAAUUUGAUUAAUUUAGAAAUGGAACAUAAGCUUACUUAGGUCAAUUUUGGAUAAGUUUUAUACAAAAUGUAGACUUCAAAUUCCAACACUAUUCAAGUUUAAGAUUAAAACAUUAUCAUAUUAAUGAAAAAUGAUUAGGACGUAGUGUUUAAUGGACUAAAUUUAGCAAUCCAAAUAUGGCAAAAGAAAUGGAGAAAAACCAAACCAUACCUUUUCCAACAAGAAGAAAGAUUGUUGAAUUGGACUAUCAAUAUAACCUUCUGAAUCUAUUUCUUGAAAAAGUGUCCCCACUUGAUCCCAUUUCAACAUAAUUAGCUUUUUCAAAUGUGGCCCUCUUGCAAUACGUGUUCCUCGGUAGAAACCUUUGAGUUUGUCUAAUCCUUCGAGUGUGAGAGAGGUUAGUUUAGGGAAUAAUGAAGACUUUACUUCAUCUCCAUGUUCAUUUGCAACAAUUUCCUCCACUCCACAAUUUAUUAUCUGUAGUUCAUGAAGUUGCACAAGGCCUUCUGCUACCGUAAUUGGAAAAAGAUAUUUUAAACAAGGACACCUAGCAACUUUUAAGAACAGUAGGUUUUGAAAGGAGACAAGUCCUUGAGGAUCCUUAUUCCAUACACUCUUCAAACUAUUUAGCCUCUCUAAAAACAAAUGAAGCAAUGGAAUGGUUGCAAUAUCAUGAAUUUCCUUGCAAUUUACUCCCUGUAGAUCAAAAAUCUCUUCUAUGGAAUCACAAUCAUCUAUUUUCACAUAUUCCAAACUUUGUAACCCUUUUAGGAUAUUGGAUGGAAAAACAUUUAGUAAUUUGUUGCACUUUGAUAUUUCCAAACUUUUAAAGUUGCAACAAGACUCUAGAGGAAGUUGGUUGUGCCAAAUUGCUAUCACAUUAUCCAAGGAUUCCAUUGUCAAGUCCUCCAAGCUAGGGAGUGUAACCUGCACAAUCGAUCACAUUUGGUUAACAAUAUGUAUACCCAUGUAUAUAUAUUCCCGAUUGAGUUAAUAACCAGAUACAUAAAUAAAUAGAAUAUAAGAGGUUAAAGGUCAAGAUAUCAAUGUGACAAAGCACAAAACUAGAAGAAAAUGAAAGAGAAUGCAUAAUAUUUUAACAAUUGAAUGGAAUUUAAAGAUGUUAAAUUUGAGAUGAUUUUCAAAUGGGGCAACAGGUUCCCAAUCUUUGGAUCUCUUUUUCAAAAUUGACAAAGCCUAAUGGAUUAUAUAUGUAUUUGAAGCACCCAUGAUAGCCAUCCAUCGAUAUGUUUCAUAGUCUUAUAACAAGUAUCUACUCUUUUUACCAUGCAGUGAUUCCAUUCAAAAUAUUCCACAUAAAUACAAUAAAAAUAACUAUUAAAGCGGGGUGGUUGAAGACCAGGUGGUUUAUGAUGAGGCCUUUCCUUCUAGUUUUUCCUUACUUAGGAAACCACAAAUGCAAUAGAUGCUCAGGCAUGAGCCUUCUUCAUUCACUAAUUAACCUAGCCUUUAGAUUCUUAAAGCUUGUUUGUUGGUGUAACAUAUAUAUAUUUGAGAAUAAUAUUUUUUUAAAUUUACACCAGUAUUUGAAAGUUGUUCUUGAAUAAAUUUUUAAAAAGAAAGUAAAAUAAAGAAUUAUUUUUAGAAAAUAAGUAGAAAUUACUUUCAUCUAUUUUUAAAAACAAAAGGAAACCAUCAACAAAUAAAAAAUAUAUAUUAGAAAAAAAUCAUUAAAAAAAUAAAGUUUAACAAAAUUUCAUGCCUCUAAAUUACACAAUUUUUUUCUAAAUUUCUUUUAACUUAAAUUUUUUUACUAUAAAAAGAGAUUCUAAAUCAAGUUACAUUUAAUAUAUAUAUAUAUAUAUAUAUAUAUAUAUAUAUAUAUAUAUAUAAUUUUAGAAUAAAAAAACUAAGGCAAUAAAUACUAGAAAAUCAUGGAACUUAAAAUCAAUCUAACUAAUAUUAAAAAAUAACAAUUUAAAUCUCAUCUUGAAUUACUUUACUAAUUUCUUCUUGACAAUAACUAUAUUUUUUAAUAGGCAAAUAAACCCCAAAUCAAGGAAGACUUGAUGUAUUGGAAUCUGGCAAGUUUAACAAUAAUUUAAAACUUUAAUACUAAUCUAAUGAAUUCAAAAAAUUUAUGAAUGAAAAUCGGUUCAAAACACUAUAGACAAAUAAACUCUAAAUCAAGUAAGACUUAAUAUUUAGAUUCACUAUCAAGUCUAUUAAAUUUAAAAAGUAAUUUAUGAUUCAUAAAAUAACCCAAUCACCACUAGAAAUUCAACGAUUAAAACUAGUCUAGAACAACUUUUUUUUUACUUCUCCUCUAUAUGUAAUUAUAUUUUGAUGAUUUUUUAUUAGAAAAUAAUUUUAAAUCAAACAAGACUUAAAAGUUUUAGAUUUAUUAAUGAUUGCACUCAUUUUUAAAAAUAAUCUGGAACUCAAAAAUAAGUUUAGACAAUAAUUGAAUAUAAUAAACCAAAACUAGUCCAAAAUGAGUCUAUGAGAGCUAUAUUGUUUCUCCUUUGCACCUUACUAUACUUUUCCAAUUUUUCUCAUUAAGUAAAUAAGCUAAAUAAAGUGAUAUCAAAACUUAAUGCUUUAGAUUCUCUAAUGAAUAUAUUAAUUUUUAAGAAUAAGAUGGAAUUAAAAAAAUUGACUGAAUUAAUUUUAAAUUGAAUCAAAAUUGGUUCAAAAUACUUUAUCCAUUGCUGAGUAUUGAAAAAUCUAACUUAUUUACAUAUAUAUAAAAAAAUAAACUUUAAUUUUUAAUUUAUUUUAAAUAAAACAUUAUUAAUCAUUAGCAUUUUUAAAUUAUAACCAUUCAUAUUUAACAAAAAAUCAAUUAUGCAUUUGUAAAAACAUUGAUAUCCAUAUUUUAUAAUUUAUAUUAAAAUGGCUCAAUUUCUAAAUUAAAAAAAAAAUCAUGAUUUUAUUAUAAUAUUAAUAUCCAUAUUUUAAUACAAACCAUUUAUUUUGUUAAUUUAUUAGUAAUUAAAAAAAAUUAUUUCCAUAAGACUUGAAUUAAAUCGAAUUAAUAUUAUAUAAAUCAACUUUACAUUUUUUUUUUUUUUACAAAAUCUAAAUAUAACAUUUAUUUUAAAAACGACAAAAGUUAAUAAACGAAUGAGUUUUUUUAUUUUUUGUUGUUUAAAAGUGUUUUUAAAAACAUUUCAAACACUCUUUAUUUUGAGAACAAAAAAUCUAGAAAAUUUUUUGGCAACUACCAAAAAAAAUAAAACCUGCUCUCCAAAACAUAAAGCAUGUGUUUCUUGUGAACAUAUUUUAGUUAUUUUAAUUGUUUUCACUUAAUUUAUUUGUUUAUUUAAAAAAAAACAAAUAUAAAGAAUAAUAAAAAAUAAAACAUUCCAUCUAAAAUUUAUUCUUAAAAAAUAUUUGAAAACAUAAAAAAUAAGUUGAAAACAUUGUAAGUUGUUAAUACACCUAUCAAAAAAAAAUUGUAAGUUAUUAAUGUACUCUACUCUAAAAAACAUCAUAGAAUUAUUUUAAAAAUUGUUUUCAAAAAUUGAUUUUUGAAUAAUGUAUUUAAAUUGGAUACUGGUUGUUUUAAUUUAUGUUUUCUCGUAAAUUUAUGGGGCAGAGAGACUAGAAAAGAAAAGGAAAGUGAUAAAAUUUAUGGGGGCAAAGCAUACUGCAUCCAUAUUAUGGAUAAAAUUAAGAUUAUUUUAAAUUGGAUACUGGUUGUUUUCAUUUAUGUUUUCUCAUAUUUUACUUAUUUAUUAAUGGCAGAAAUUGGAUAUCAUUCAAAUUUUAACAUACCUGUUCAUUGAAGAAUGGUGUGGGAACAUCACUCGUACAUAACUCCUGGGUAGCACUGCUUCCUGUGGAGGAGAAGUCCCGUGUCGAAUCCAAGGAUCCCAUUUCAGGUAACACCGAUCCAUUCUUUCCUUGCUCCAUCGGAAGGGAUAUGAAAGAUUUCAACCUCUUACAACCAAUCACUAGUAGAGAACGUAACUUCCCAAAAGAUCCCUCUGGAAUUGGACCAUAGCAUACUGCAUCCAUGUUAUAGAGAUUCCCAAGACGCAAUUCCUCCAAGAUAGGAAGGGCACUGUGUGAUGGGACCCCUUUGGUCGAGUCAACAAUGUAUUGAAUCCCAGGACAAUUUCCGAUAACAAGAUGCUUGAGUUGAAGAAAAUCAUCUGUAUCAAACUCGUAAAGGACAUGCUUAGUGUCCUCCAAGUCAUGCAAUUCUAAAACUUCAACUGUCUUGAACAGCUUGGAAAAGCAGUCCACCAAGCAAGGUUUGUUAACCCUCCAGAGCUUCAACGUUCUUGCGGAUCUAUUAUGAUCAACAUAUCCUGGAAUGGAAUACACUGAUAUCACAUAUCUGGUAAGCUUCUCAAAGACCAGAUCUUUUGAUAGCAAAUUGGGUACCGUUAUUUCUAUAUAUAAAGUCUUCAAAUAGGACAAGUUGUUCAGCUCAGAAAGGCAAGCAUUAUUGCUUUCUCCACUACCAAAUCCUUCAGCCCCCCAUUUGGUAAAACUUUUUGCUAAACAUAAAUGCUCCAAUCGAGAUAAACUUGAUAUGACAUUUUGGGGAAUUACUUCGAGAUGAGAGCAAUCCCACAAGUCCAGCACCCUUAGAUCAGUCAAUUGCAUGAAUUCUUUCGGCAACCGUUCAAUUUCGCAACUUGCAAAACUAAGAACUUGUAGUUUCUUUAGCUCUCCGAUUAAUGCCAUGUCUUGGAGUGUGCAUCGGUAUACACGCAAUGUUCGAAGAUUGGAAAGAAAACCAAGUGAUGAAGGCAGUGGUGUAAGAUGCCUUGCAGACAAGUCCAAAACUUUUAGUAGUUCCGUCUCUUGAAAAAAGGUGUUUGGAAUUCUCAAAGACGGAUCAUUACCAUUCAAUAAAAAGAAUUCAAGUUUGGAACAUACCAAUCUUUCCGGAAGCUCACGGAGAUCUCCGCAUUGCAAAGAUAUACGACUGCAAUUUCUGAACUCCUCCUUCCUUUGCCAUUCUUCUAAUCCAAGAGCUUCUUUGAUCACAACAAAUCGAUGAGGAUCUUUUGCUGCAAUUGCUCUGGCAACAUCACCAACAACAUCAUGCAUUCUGACAAACUUGUUUUCAUCAUUAUUUCCGAAAAACACACCUGGCCCCACACCUGACCGAUAACGAUCUUCAGCAUCAAGCAGCAAGCUCGAGUCUUUGAGGAUUUUGACCAAUGUCACUAGUUUAUUUCUUAUUUGCUCCAAUGAACUCACGUGUUCAAACAAAUCCAAACCCAUGCCAUAUUUUAACAAUUGAUCCAGUGAAAUAUCACCAUAGCCCAGCAUACCACAAAGUAAGAACAAACGCUUCACUUCAUCACCUUUCAAGUGGUUGUAGCUCAACUCCAGACAUGAGUAUACUUUUUCAUGCACGUCCUCGAUGUUUAUUGCUGCAGAAUUCUCCAGUUCUAGCAAAGCAUUGUUCCACACAGCCUCAUCACUCUCGCCUUUUAACGCCUUUGCAACUGUUACAAUGGCAACUGGUAGACCAUCACAUUCUCUAAGUACUUUAAUUGCUAUGGAUUUAAGCUGCUCCACUGAAUCACCUGCUGUCUUCUUAAAUAAACUCCAGGCUUCCUCUUCACAUAAAUGUUGAACACGGAAGUUUUUUUGAGUAGCCAUCUUUCUAGAUAACACACCCUGUUUUCUGGAAGUCAGCAGCACUUUACACCCCCUAUGAGCAUCUCCAUGAGGAAUUCCGAUGUUUUCCAGACUAAGUUCUUCCCAAAUAUCAUCCAGAAUCACCAGGACCGUCUUAUUUUUUUGCAAACUUUUGCUUAAGCGGGCUGCUCUUCCCGAUUCCUCUUCCUCCUCAAAUUUCAAACCUAACAUGCUUGCAAUUUCUCCUUGAAUUUUUGUCACGUUCGGAACUCGGGAUAUAUUUAAUGCCAUAACCACCUUUUCAAAUAACUUAUCUUCCUCGGCCUUUUUCGCUACUUGAUUGGCAAGAGUGGUUUUGCCCACACCGCCCAUCCCCCACACACCAAUCAUUCUGAUAUCAUCAUUUCUCAAGGCCUCCAUAAUUUCGUUUAAAAUAGAUGCCCUCGAUUCCAAAGCUCCACAAUCUCUGAGGCGUGGAGACCAUAUCCCUUGUGGAGGAAGGCCAUAUGAUACCCUGUUAAAUUUAUUUUCUUCUUGGAUUUUACCAAUAUCCCCAGACUGCUUCUUCGCUUGCCUGCUUCGCUGGUACCGCAACUUUAAAUUGAAACAGCUCGUGCUUGCAGCCUUCUCAUCUUCAAUCAAUUCCUUUGCCGUUUGGAUGAUCCCUUCUGUACGUGUCAGCCACUUCUGGACAUCAGGUUCGAUCUCAUCCCCUUGCCUAUUAGCGUCAUCCACAUCUCGCUGCCGCCUCUCCCUUGCAUCACCCAGCUUGUCAACUUGUUCCUCAAGGUUAUCAAGGUUGCUACGGUAGUUAAACAGGUAACCCAGUGGACGUACAAUGGGAGCAACCAGGUACUCUGCAACUUUUGCUGCAAUGGAAAUAAGAAUUUCUGCCAUUUCCCAAGUUUUCUUUCUCUAGAAAUAGAUGGGAAUUGUGCAACAGCAGAUAUCAAAAAGGGAAACGACAGCAGGAGAAGGAAAACACACUAAAAUUUUUGAUAUUUAAUUGAGUGUGACAGAUGAAAAUAAGGAGAUGAAAGGUUGGAGGUAUCAAAAGAGCAGAGUAUGUGGAAGGUUUCAGCUAUCAAAGAAACAAGAAUUUUUUCUUUUUCUUUUUUUCUUUUUUUCCAAAGAGGGAGAAGGGAAACACACCAACAAAUAGGAAAAUGAGAUUGGUUACUAGUAAGAAAGAGAACAAAGGGCAGAGAGCGGGAAUAUUGAGUGAUGAACUGACAAAUGGGCUACAGAUUCAGAUUCAAGAGAAAAAGCUCAAUCAAUGCUAUUGGAAUCAACUAGACAAAAGGAAAACCAGAGAAGGAGAAGUGAGACCGGCCCAGCCAAAUUAAGAUUUUCACGGAGCAGAACACCGGAUUGAAAGCGGGAUCUGGACGAGUUAGGAUGGAGGUGAAGAGAAGGGAGUGAUUAUGGACGAGUAAAUCGCAGAAGAAUGAAAGCAGUAGAGAGAAGGGCCUCAGGAGAAGGAAAACACACAAAAAAAAUGGUAUUCAAUUGAGUGUGACAGAUGAAAAUAAGGAGAUGAAAG
This 52479-nucleotide long non-coding RNA is filed under the name Vitis vinifera (wine grape). RNAcentral describes it as "long non-coding RNA (VVIN_LNC004478)". The record is from RNAcentral. Lineage: Eukaryota; Viridiplantae; Streptophyta; Magnoliopsida; Vitales; Vitaceae.